CAGCAAACAUCCCAACUCACCUGAGUCUCAGGUUCCUGAAGAUUCACUGCAACUCCGGCGAUUUGCAACGUGCCCGCCACGUAUUCAACCAAAUUCCUGAACCAGACCUGCGCGCAUGGACCCUGCUAAUAUCAGCCCACACGCGACAUGGGUUCGUCAGGGAAGCUAUAAACCUCUACGCUUCACUCAGAGCUCGCAACAUUGCUCCUGACAAUCUUCUACUUGUCUCUGUUGCCAAGGCCUGUGCGGUUCUGGGUGAUCUCCGAAACGCCACUGAGCUUCACAAUGAAGCGAUUCGGUUCGGGUUUGGUUUGGAUGUUUCUUUGGGCAAUGCCAUGGUUGAUAUGUUUGGGAAAUGCAAGUUUGUUGAUGGGGCGAGGCGGGUUUUCGAUGCAAUGCCGGUGAAGGAUGUCAUUUCUUGGACAUCAAUAUGUUCUUGUUAUGUUCGCUGUGGUCUGCCGAGGCAGGGCUUAGUUGCAUUUAGAGAGAUGGGAUUGAGUGGAGUGAGACCCAAUGCGGUGACGGUGUCGACUGUCCUGCCUGCUUGCUCUGAGUUGAGGGAUUUGAAUUCAGGGAGGGAGAUUCAUGGAUAUGUGGUGAAACAUGGAAUGGAAGGGAAUGUAUUUGUUAGCAGUGCACUUGUGAAGGUGUAUGCUAGUUCCGUGAGUAUCAAGCAAGCGCAGAAGGUGUUUGAUCAAAUGUCACAACGAGAUGUUGUGUCUUGGAAUGUGCUUUUAACAGCGUAUUUUGAUAAUAGGGAAUGGGAGAAGGGUAUGGCUCUGUUUAGUAGGAUGAGAAGUGAAGGUGUUAGAUUGGAUGGUGCGUUGUGGAACGCUGUGAUUGGUGGGUGCUUGACUAAUGGCGAAACUGAGCAGGCGCUGAAAAUGCUUGGGAUGAUGCAAGAGUCGGGGUUUAAGCCGAAUCAGAUAACAGUUACUAGUUUGUUGCCGGCUUGCAAAGAUUUGGAGAGCCUGAGGGCAGGCAAAGAGGUUCAUAGCUACAUUUUUAGGAACUGUUUGAUGAAUGACUUGGCAAGCACAACAGCUUUGGUUUUCAUGUACGCAAAAUGUGGGGAGUUGGAACUGUCAAGGAGGGUGUUCAGUUUGAUGCCGGAAAAGGACACGGUUGCUUGGAAUACAAUGAUCAUCGGAAACUCAAUGCAUGGGAAUGGAGGAGAAGCAUUGUUGCUAUACAGAAACAUGUUAGAGUCCGGGGUGAAGCCCAAUUCUGUUACAUACACUGGUGUUUUGUGUGGUUGUAGUCAUUCGCGGCUGGUUGAUGAAGGCAUCAAGGUUUUUGAGUCAAUGAGGGAUCACUUAGUAGAACCUGAUGCAGAUCAUUAUUCGUGUUUGGUUGAUAUACUUAGCCGUGCUGGUCGACUAGAAGAGGCCUAUCAGUUUAUACAGAGAAUGCCUAUGGAACCAACUGCAAGUGCUUGGGGAGCAUUGCUUGGUGCCUGUAGAGUGCACAAAAAUGUGGAGUUGGCAAAAAUAGCAGCAAACAGGCUGUUUGAGAUUGAACCAGAUAACCCUGGUAACUAUGUAUUGUUGUCCAACAUUUUUGUAACUGCCCAAAAAUGGGAAGAAGCUUCAGAAACUAGGAAGCUGAUGAGGGACAGAGGAGUCGCAAAAACACCAGGUUGUUCUUGGGUUCAGUUGAGAAAUAGAGUCUACACUUUUGUUGCUGGUGAUAGGAGUAAUGAACAUAGUGAAAAGAUAUACAAGUUUUUAAAGGAAAUGGGUGAGAAGAUGAGAUUGGCAGGGUUUGUGCCAAACACGGAUUUUGUUCUGCAAGAUGUGGAUCAAGAAGAGAAAGUGGGGACUCUUUGCAACCAUAGUGAGAAGCUGGCUGUUGCUUUUGCAAUGCUCAACUUGAAUGGGGAGUCAACAAUUCGGGUAUUUAAGAAUUUGAGGAUAUGUGGGGAUUGCCAUAAUGCCAUCAAAUACAUGGGAAAGAUAGUUGGUGUGAGGAUUAUAGUUAGAGAUUCAUUGAGGUUUCACCAUUUCAAUGAUGGAGAUUGUUCCUGUGGAGAUUUCUGGUGAUUUCCAGGAUUAUGUCAAUGUCAAUGAAUGUGGUUACAUUAUGCAAGAUCAGUGUCAUCCAGAAUUUAAAGCACUGGAAUCCUUAGAUGGAUUCAGACUAAUCAUCGUUGAUUUACGCAUGUUUGCCAAUGACAUAAGUAAUAACCAAAUUGGAUUGUUACUAUGUUUGACUAGUAGACCAAAUAGGCAAAUACCAUGAAACCAGAACUUCGAUGCAGCAAAAUCUGGGGGAAAAUGCAACAUAAAGAUUCUCAUCAAAUGGUUUGUAAGGUUGUCGCGGCUGUUCAGAUUUGGUGGAUUGAUAGAUAGUACACACCAUUUUCCAUACAAAUUCCCUGGUUCCAUCACAUUUUCCAUUUAUAGUUUCUUACAAACAAUGCACAACUUAUUGUUCAAGUUUCUGGGAUUUCCUAUGUUCUUUUACCAAGCUAAUGUGGACUUGGAAGUAUUGGACUGGAAGAACCCAGCGCUCAAACUCAUUUACGUAUAGAUUCUUAGCAUAGGUAAAACUCAUUCUAUCGAUAAUCGAUACUUCAUAAAAAAAUAAAAAAAACAAUUCCUUCGGAAUAUGAUAUUUUCAUGACAUUCGAUAGUUUAGUCAAGAAAAAACUUGUAUUCACACAUUGCCUCAAUUUUAUUUUAUUUUUUGAUCGGGCAAAUUUCUUUUGUUGUGAUUUUUCACCUAAAGACUUCCUAUUUUGGCAGCAUUCAUCUUUUUUUUUUUGACAGGUAAAGUCAUACGGUAAUUUUAUUGAUAUUCAAGCUAGAAUGGCAUGAAUACAUGUAUUCCCUUGCCAAACAUUUGGGCAAAUUAAGGACGUGGCAUGUUAGCACCAUUCAUUACAAAGAUUCCGUUCAUUUAUUUCUAACAGAAAAGCAAGAAAUACAAGACACACAAAUACUUAGGUUCCUAACAAAAGGAAUUACUGGAAAUAAUAGGUAAAAACUAUUAAAACUUUGGAGGCCCAAAUGAAAAAGUCCACACAAGGCCCAUCAGGCAUGGCCUGCCCUAAAGUCCACCUCCACCUCCGCCUCGUCGAUCGAUCUCCACCUCCAUACCGCCGACCAGCCUCACACAGCGCCACAUCAAGAUCCCACCUCCGCUCCGAGAUCAUCACAACCUAAACCAUGAUGAUCCAAUCCCUGCGUCACUGGCACAAGAAGAAGCUACAAACCCCGCCGAUUGCAAUCCGCUCCAAACUCUCCAUCAAGCAUCAGCGAAACAGAGGCCUUCGUCGACCGGCGAUCCUCCACCUCCCAUCGACUGGCAAUCCUCCACCUCCCAAAGAUAUCGACCAAAACCUUGAAGCCAAAACCUAACCUGACAAAAACCUUGACCAAAACAAUCGUAAGGGCCAUUUCAAUCAGCAAAAUUGAUCCCGUCUGGAAGCAUAGCACAUGACGCCGGCAAAGCCAAGGCCAGCCGAGCAGUCAAGGCCGCUCCUAGACGAUCGCGAGAGAUUGGACUCCGCCACCGCUGCCGGGUUUUAGGGUUUUUUCUUCUCGGAUAGAAUUGUAUUAUCAUUUUUGCAGCAUUCAUUGAAAAAGAGAAUCAGAAAAUAAGUAAAUUAAAAUCACUCAAAAAAUAAAAUAAAAUGAUUUGGGUUGACUCCAAAGAGCAAGUAAAAAGUCACUUUCGCUUACAGAGAGAGGAUCAAAUUCAAAUUCCCAACUUUGGUCCUCGAUCACUAUAGAGACUUGACCUGAUUGUAGAGUGUAGAGUAUUCUAGUGUAGAGAUAGUGAAUCUGUCUCGUCAACCUCAAGCUCAAGCUGAUUGAAAUGGUAGUACGCGGUGCGUGCUUGCAUUUCCUCAUGUUUCAACUAUGUAAUUGGGUAUAGCUUGCCUUGCACGCCAAUUGCUUGAUGUUUUGCCUCACAAAGAAGAUUAGCUUGCAUUUUCGGUUUUAUAUUAAGUGGACUAUUAGUAACUAUUUUUUUAAUUUUAGGGAAAUGGAUGACUCCAUUGAGCUUAUAGCCCAUCCAUUGGCAAAAGCCAAACUACCAAUUAGGCGAACCCCGGCCUGCCUGGUCAAGUAGGAGACAAGCUCCGAUAGAAAAGCUCCAAAAGUCAUUAUUCGACAAAAAUAAAAUGCAAACUACAACUAGGAAAUCAAAAUACUAAGCCAAAUACGUAGAAUGAAACUCAUUCCACUACUACGCAACCUUGGAGAAAAACUAUUAUCUUGUCAAGCUUAACGCCGAAGACCCAGUGGUAGAUGUACGUUGCCGCUUCCCAAAAUAGUGAAAAUUUUCGAUCUAAGGCUUGAUAAAAUUGAUAAGGGUACGUAGCCCACACAACAAACCUACCAAAACCCAACUAAAUACCCAAACCAGGCCAAAUAUAGGAGAGAGAAUGAACCAGGCCCAAAUGCCCAGCCAUUCCCCACUCCUGCGUCCCAAACCAGAAAAAGCCGGAACCCUAGCCAGGGUGCCGGAAGUGCAGCAAACACCACCUUAGUUUGGUGGCCUUCCCAUCCGGGCAGCCAUGGUGGCUAUCCCAACCCCAAAACUUGUCCAAAAAAACGGUGUCGCCGCUUAGCCUAUGAGACAUAGACGUAAGCCUUCAGAGAUCUUACACAAGGACCACGACCGAUGUCAAGACACCUAUUGCGGACCCAAAACCACAGCCAAACCUGUGCCUCCUUCGAUACUGUCGGAAUAUCAAAGCUGCCUCCUUCGAUUAGCAAAAAGAACCUAAUUCGCCUCCACACCGGACAAUACCUUGCCCGCUUGAGAAGAUGGCCGCCUUUUAAUGUUUAAGGACAUGAACUAAAGCCCAAGUAGCGUCACCGCCCAACUUUAGAUCCAAGUUUGUCACCCACCACAACUGAAAUUGCGGUUCACAAAGACCACAUAAAGGAGAACCAGGUGGCUCCGUCCUUCCGCUUUGAGAAGCGACGCCAAACGACGUCCGCAGUGGCUAGGAGCAUAGCAAAAGUGCAACUGUCGCUUUGCUCUCAAAACCCUUAGAGGUUUCAGUUUUUUUAGCUAGCUAUAUAUUUUAGUGCACUCUGUUAAUAACUGUUCAUACUUGCGCACAUACGAGUCAUAAAAUUUUCCCCAUCUAUUUUUGGAAAUCAAUUGUCUGGUUUGAAAUUUUGUAACAAUUUCAUGUGCAAAACCGGACUAAACUAGUCUUAAUUAUAUAGGUUAUAGUGACUAUCGAUUGACUUUGCCUUUGCUUUAAAUGUAAGAUCAUGAUAAUCAAAACAAAUAUGAGGAUUCUGAUUUUAUUUGGGUACCUUACUAUAACAAACCAUGAAAACAUUUUUUGGGUACACAGCUUACUAUUAUUUUUUAUUUUUUAACAAUGGGGUUUUACUAGUUAUCUUGUAAAACAUAUUUCUACAUAUAAUAAACAAAAUGUGUACUAAGACAUAAAUAGACAAAUAAUAAUAACAAUAAAAUAAAAAAGACAAUAGCAAGUCGCUGCAAUCUAUAAAAGGCUUAGUUAAUUCAACGAAUACCCAAAAGCGCAAAAAGAAGUAGAGCAUGCAAAGCAGAGCAACAGAAGAGCAGCAGACCACACCGAGUAAUCAAGAAUGGCACCGAAGAACCCACCGGAGAAACCACCUAAGAACGGCGCACCAGUCACUGAAGAGAAACUUCGUCAACUUCGUGAUGCAGCUAAGAAGCUGGCGGCCCUCAUUGAAGCAACAUUGCUAAAGUGUUUGUCAAAGAAGUUAGAGGUCCGAGAAUGAGCCUACUGGACAAGACAAGAGAGGACACACAUGAGAACCUAACAAUGGAGGCCUCACAGGGUAACCCAAAGGAGAACCGACCGGAAAACCCAAUGGAGAACCGAAUUUUAGAAUGCGUUGAAACAAGGGUAAGGCUUUCUUCUCUUCUUGCAACAACCAUGUUCUUGAAAGGGACCCACAUUUGUGCCUCCACCGAUUUUCUUUCCUCUAUCACAAUAACCACUCUACAUCCUACAAUCAGCCUCGAAACUAUGCUCACUAGAUUAUUGAAACGAUGAUGGAAACCAAUCAGAGACUCAAAAAUAAGUACAAGUUCGAAGGAUUUCUUGAGAGGGAAAUGGGGGUAACAGUUGUCCUGCUUGAUAUUCAUAAGGAGCUAAAGAUCUUUGUCCGGCUGGAAAAUGUGUUGAGGGUUCUAGACUUUACUAUUGCUACUGAAAGUGCAAUUGAAAGUUUGAAACAGAAAAAAGAGGAAUUGGCAAAGUUGGAGCGGCGCAAGUUGAGAUCUUGGAUGUCGUUGGUGUGCCAAGGAAAAGUCAGGAAGAUUCGGACUGGGCUAGAAAAGAAGACAUGGAGGUUUCUGCUCAAAUCUUGGAGAAGUGGAAGGAAGGCCUCGAUGGUAUUAAAAAGAAUAUUAAAAAAACUGUUCAAGUUAACGAAGAGAAGAGAACCAAUUUGUACAGUUAAUUGGAUUAAGUAGAUGCCAAAGACCGAUCAAUUCUAGACGCAUCUCUAGAUUGCAUUGGAGAAAGCUGUGAAUUUGGGGUGUUCAGUCUCUGUGCUUCUAAAACACUUGUUGGUCUCAUUACCGGAGAGCAAAGAACGUGAAAUGGUGAUUAAGCAGCUAAAAGUUGUACUGAAAAACCUUGCGAAGAUGAAAGAAACAUUUCAGCUAAGAUCAUGGAGUUGGGAAUUUUCAAUUUCAAAAGUCAGAGCAUGACAGGUGGUACUGGUGUUGACAAAGCGGCUAAUCAUGGAACCAUUUAUUAGUUCAAGAUGCUCUUGAUUAGAGUGAAUAUGAUCUACAUACAUCCCAUUUCCUUCCGGGGUCGUUCAACAGUUCAUCAGAAUUUUGUUACCUUUCUGAGUCUUUGAACAGUAAUGUCAAGCAGAUAAACAUACGGAUGCGUUGAAGCAGAAGAUGAGUAUGUCUUUGGAGAACUGGAAGGUGGAGCUUGCAGCUAUGCGAAAGUCAUGGAAUAUCAGUGCCGAAGACAUAGACAUAUCACUAAAAAGAUGAAGUUGAAGAUGAAAAUGUCUAUGGUAUAUCAGUACCUUCCAAUUCUCCAUACACAUAUUCAUCUUCAGCUUCAACACAUCCACAUGUUUAUCGCUCUGCUUAACAUAGUUGUCCAAAGACUCAUACAAAGUAAGGAAAUUUUGGUGAACUGUUGAACGGCCCUAGAAGGAAAUGGGAUGUCUGAAGAUCAGAUUUACUCUGAUCAAUAGCAUCUUGAACUGAUAAAUGGUUCCAUAAUCAGCUGCUUCUACAACACCAGUACCACCUGUCAUGCUCUGACUUUUCAAAUAAAAAAAUCCCAACUCUAUGAACUUCUUAGCCGAAAUGUUUCUUUCAUCUCCGGCAAGGUUUUUCAGUACAGCUUUUAGUUGCUUAAUCACCAUUUCACGUUCUUUGCUCUCCGGUAAUGAGACCAACAAGUGUUUUAGAAGCACAGAGCUGAACACCCCAAAUUCACAGCUUUCUCCAAUGCAAUCUAGAGAUGCAUCCAGCAUUGAUCGGUCUUUGGCAUCUCCUUAAUCCAAUUGUACAAAUUGGUUCUCUUCUCAUCGUUAACUUGAACAGUUUUUUUAACAUUCUUUUUAAUACCAUCGAGGCCUUCCUUCCACUUCUCCAAGAUUUGAGCAAAAACCUCCAUGUCUUCUUUUCCAGCCCAGAGAGCAACAAAGUCCGAAUCUUCCUGACCUUUCCUUGGCACACGAACGACAUCCAAGAUCUCAACUUGCUGCUCCAACUUUGCCAAUUCCUCUUUUUUUUUGUUUCAAACUUUCAAUUGCACUUUCAAUAGUAAAGUCUAGAACUCUCAGCACAUUUUCCAACUGGACAAAGAUCUUUAGCUCCUUCUGAAUAUCAGGCAAGAUAGCUUUUACCCCAUUUCCUUCUCAAGAAAUCCUUCGAACUUGUACUUAUUUUUGGGUCUCUGAUUGGUUUCCAUCAUUGUUUCAAUAAUCUAGUGAAGUUUUGAGAAGUCGGAAAGCAUAGUUUCGAGGAUGAUUGUAGGAUGUAGAGUGGUUAUUGUGAUAGAGCAAAGAAAAUCGAUGGAGGCACAAAUGGGGGUCCCUUUCAAGAACAUGGUUCUUGCAAGAAGAAAAGAGAGCCUUACCCCUGUUUCAACUCAUUCUCGAAUUCGGUUCUCCAUUGGGUUUUCCGGUCGAUUCUCCUUUGGGUUACCUUUUGAGGCCUCCAUUGUUGGGUUGUCAUGUGUGUCCUCCCUUGUCUUCUCCGGUAGGCUCAUUCUUAGACCUCUGACUUCUUGCGAGAAGCACCUUAGCAAUGUUGCUUCGAUGAGGGCCUCCAGCUUUUUGGCUAAAAGAAAAUGAGCUCAACUCCAAUAGCUCAUCUAUUCUAUUAUAUAAAAUUAAAUAUGUUUUUCUAUAUAAUUUAAUAAAUCUGUAUAAAUUUUAUAUUAUUAUUCAAAUCAUGUUGAUUGUGCUAUUGUGUUGACCAUUUUCUGUUAAGCUCUCUAAUAGUUUGUAAAAGAUGUUCCUGUCAGCUAUGGCUAGCUAUCAAAGUUUGUUAGUUUGUUAGAGUUGCUAUUAUUUUCUCAGUUGUAUGUAUAGUGACUUGAGUCCAUUUUCCUCUGUAACGAAACUUUUGAGAAUCAAAGCAAGGGUUUGAUCUUUUCUCAGUUUCUCUCUUUCAAUUUCUUUGCUUUCAUUCUAAAUCCCUAGGCUCAUCUCUGAUGCCAUGGCUAUCAAAUCAAACCCCAAAUUUCAUGUUAAAUGUUUUAACUUUUUGAUUUUUUAUUUUUGUUUAGAGAAAAUAGACAAUUUUAUUAAGAAAAAAUGUCCUAAUGCUCAAAUAUUUGAAAACUAAACCUCAUUCUAAUUAAAAUCUUAUCUUUGUGCUCAUUUCAAUUAUUCUUGAAAAAAAGACUAUAAUACCCUGUGUAACUCCACCACACAAAUAUUAUCUCUUUCUCCUUUAAUUUUUCCCGAUCUGGUUUUCCUCUCUCUCUCUCUCUUCCCUUCCAAUCAUGAGUGCCACUGCCACCGCCACUGCCACCGCUCUGCACUCACCGGGUCAGGGAAGAAUCACUAUUCCCAGCCGGGCUUCGAAGCCUCAGUUUCCCUUUUGGCAACAGACCUGGUUCAUAGCCUUGCUCUUCGCCAUGGCCGUCGGCUUUCUCUGCCUUGCUGUCUUCCUCUUCCUCGGCCUCGAUCUCGAUACAGGCUACGGCGCCACCACCCCCACCGCUGAGGGCGUCGAGGUUUGUUUCUCUUCCCGCUCGUAAUUUAUGAUCUGAAUCUGAUUAUCGGAGAUUGAUAAAUGUAUACCGGCAUUGAGCAGAUCACAUACGACAGUGUGCUGAAGCUUAUGCACGAGAGGACCAAGUUUCGGCUGCACUCCCACGACAUGUCGUAUGGCUCUGGCAGUGGCCAGCAGUCUGUCACUGCGUUUCCAAAUGUCGACGAUGCUAACAGCUACUGGGUACGGUAUUCGCUACAGUUUGUUCAAUUUACGUAUCAUGCUUUUCGAUUGGUCAAUAAGUGAUUAUUGGGUAAUUACUGGGUUUCAGUAACUGAAAACUAAGUGAUUACUGAGUGUCAGUAACUGAAAACUAAGUGAUUACUAGGUGUCAGUAACUAGUUAUUGGGUGUCAAUAAUUUAUCAAUAACUGGUUACUUAGGUUAGUAACUGGUUAUUAUGGGUCAUUAACUGGUCAGUAACUGGUUAUUGGGGGUCAGUAACUGGUUACAGGGGAAAAUCCGGUGACCGGAAUCCGGCGGUCGGGGAAAUUCCGGUGACCAGAGUCCGGCAGUCUGGAAAAUUCCGGUGACCGGAGUCUGACGGCCGGUGACCGAAGUCCGAGGUUCCGGCCAAGUCUUUUCAUGUUGAAGAAGUGGGGGCAAAAUAGUCUUAAAUAAUAUGAUUUGUUAAGACUUUAGUAAAUAUUUGUGCAUUUGGGCAUAAAAAUGGUUACCUUAUAUUGGAAUGGGCUAAUGCAAAAGAUUAUCAUUGGAAUGGGAAAUAAAGGGUUUGAAUUAGUACUAAAUAUACAUUUUUCCUUUUAUUAACUUGUUCACGAUUAGAAGACGCUUACAUCAAUUAAUUUGCCUACUUACGACCAAAAAGUCUAGUUGGCAACAAGCAAUAAUAAAGUGAUAGGUAACUCUCAUUACAAAUGCGCUCAGUUAAGCCUAUCACAUCUAACUUACAACUAUUCCUAUCUAAAUUUCAUGUAGCGGUCAUACCCGUCGCAUGCGGACCUCAAUUGGUGUACAACAAAGUAGAACCAAAAUUUAAACAAAAAUAGUCUUCCAUCAGAUGUCUAGGUAGGGAACAAGGAAAAUAACCUCCUUGCCCUUAAUGUUAGGGCUCGCCAACCCCUAUCAAACAUUGAAAUGGGUGGAAAACCCCUAGAAUCCCUGAAGGGCAAGAAAGGGUUAAGGCCCAAAUGACAAGCUCUAACCCAUCUGGAAGCCCAAACAACUUCAAAAAAUGGGCCCAACCUAAGCCCGACAGAAGAUGAUCCGUGAUCUGAUCUGCCUCCACCACUACCUGCCUCCAUAACCGCCAUGCUGUAAGCAAACCCACAGCCACGCCAAGCCUCCACAAAGCGUUGCGGAUCUUCUCGGCCACACCACACCAAAAGUCUACCAAAGUUCUAAAAAACGGUCUGGGCGGCCGCCUAGGCGGCACCUUGACGCUCGCCGACGGUAGCCCAUUCUGAUUUCAAGGUAGUCGUCCAUAUUAGUCGACUGGCAGAAAAUCGGGCGGUUAGGCGGGCUCUGGGCAGCUCGGCGACUAGAUUUUGUUAUGGAAUUUGACACAAUCUGUAUGAUUUUUCUGGACGAGUGAAACAGAAGAUGAUAAUUGUUCGAUGAGAUGAUGAGAGAGACUAGAGAUGCAAAAGUGGCCUGGUAGUUUUUAUCGAGGUAGCAGUAUUUUUGUUGACCACCAACAGUAUUGGCCUAAAAGGUUUGAUCAAAGUCAGACCACUAAUCCACUAUAGCUCAUUAUUAUUUGUUUUUCUAAGGACAAGGUCUAGGAUAUAGUUCAUUAGGUGAUUAAAAAUUAUUUAACAUUAUAUUAAAUGACUAUUUAAAUAAGUAAUUGCUUGUUAUAAUAAUUAUAAGAUUAUUUAUAUAAUUAUUUAUUAUUAAAAAAUAAAAUAAAUACAAAAAUACAAAUUCGAUUAAUCCCCGAUUAAUCUUUUGGGCGUUGUUCGCCCAACUAGCGUCCAGCGUUUUUUAGAACCUUGGAGUCUACCAUGCACGCACAGUCCGCGACCCAAAACAACCAUGCCACCGACAAGAAGAUGAAAGCCUAUGCUGACCCCCGCCACCGCAACUCUCAAACAGCAAGGACGAGCAUCCCAAAAACCUGCACAAACCAGCAGAUCUCGAAUAUCUCCGUCUAUCCUCGAGCCGAACCACAUACAAGAGACUAAAACAGCAUAAGGAAUUCUCGUCCGGCAGCGAAACUCAAUGAGAUUAGACCUUGAGGCUAGCCAAGAUGAGGCUGCCGCCGGACGAGAGGGAGUUCGUGGGUUUGUUGGGGUUCGCAAGGGUUUUUGUUUUUUAGGUAAACGAUGUGUUUUUAAAUCUCUAUGACUUUUUUUCUUCUUAUUUUGAGGAGAGAGAAUGAUAUUUUAAAGGCAAGUAAUAAAUUUUAGAGAUUUCUACAAUAAUAUACAAAUUUUGAGAAUUCUAUAGAUAUGGAUGAUCUUUUUCUCUCUCUUCUCACUUUUUUGUAUUAUAGAGAUCAUUUACAUGAGCUGUUAGAGCCAAAAAAAAAAGAAGGAUUAAUUUCAGUUUACCCCCCUGAGGUUUGGGGUUGAUAUCGUUUCACCCCCCGUACUUUUAAUUUUGAAAAUUUACCCCCUAAAGUUUCCAAUUUUCAUAAAUCAAGCCCAAUUGCUAAAAUUCCGUCCAAUUUGGAGGUUAAAUGCUAGCAUGAAAUCUUAGAAAAAAGGGUCCUAAAAGGCGAUUUAUUUUGUGUUAUGACUAUUUUAGCACUUUUAGUGAGUUAUGAAGUUAAAAUUAACGUCUGAAUUAGAUGGAAUUUAGCAAUUGGGCAUGAUUUAUGAAAAUUUAAAACUUUAGGGGGUAAAUUUUCAAAAUUAAAAGUAGGGGGGUGAAACGAUGUCAAUCCCAAACCUCAGGGGGGGGGGGUAAACUGAAAUUAAUCCUUAAAAAAAAAUGUUUUUCCUCUACAAUAGAGAUAGUUUUAGUUUUACAUGAGCUGCUGAAUAUGCCCUAAAAGAACAUAGGAAAUCCUAGAAACCUGACCAACAAGUUGUGUGUUGUUUGUAAGAAAAAUGGCAAAUGUGAUGCAGCUAGGGAAUUUGUGUGGAAAAUGGUGUCUCACAUUUUCAUGUCACAACAAAAGUUUCAUGUCAUUCUGAAAUUAGUAUCUCACAUUUUAGUUAACAUUGACUACAACCACUUAUUUUAGCUGCACUUCAGAUUUUUCACAAAUGUAAAUUAUUCCGGUUUUGACAGCACUUUUUCUCUGUUCAAGUUCAAGUUACAUAAAUUCCUCAAGUAAAACAUAUACACUUGAGAGGUUUCACAAUUUUGGGAAGUAGACAAAGUUAGACUGAGAGUCCCAUCAAAAUUCACAUGUCAGCCAAGUUUCAAAACAGAACAAAGACGAACACUAAAAGCUUAGUUGAAUUUGCUUCGACAUUAAUCACAUUGGCUUUUAUAUCAGUGGAAUCAACUUCUUGCCGGAUGCCGCACAACUUUAAAAAAGCAAUACCAACACCACAAACAUAUAACCAAAACAACAACAAAUUUCAUAAGUAACUUCAAAUAUAUAUUACAGUAUGUGGAGGCUCUACAACAUCAUAUUUCCCCUACGUAACCACCAGAACCAUAUAAAUCCCUCCUAGAGCUGACAAUUCUUUUAUGCUGCUCUAGUUUUGAACAAUCACCGACUCGAUGACCAGGCCCGCCACAAUAAGCACAGCCUUCAACCUCAUCACUUGUAUGUUCCAUUGGAUCAUCCAGCUCAGCCAACAUGGGUGGAAUUCGCUGCUUGGCCUCUUGCAAUAGGUGCUUCAAAUCUAGGAGUGUCGUCUCACUUUGGUUCUUGUUUAUAAACGUUGUUGCAAUUCCAACCUUGCCACAUCUUCCUGUUCUUCCAAUCCGGUGAACAUAGUUUUCGAUUUCUGCAGGCAUGUCAUAAUUAAUGACAUGUUGAAUAUCAGGAAAAUCCAAACCUUUUGAAGCAACAUCAGUUGCCACUAAGACAUCUUUUUUCCCUGACUUGAAGGAAGAAAUGGCAUCCUCUCUCUCUUCAUGAUCCUUCCCUCCAUGAACAGCCACUGCCUGCACUCCCUUCAACAGAAGAUAUUCAUGAAUCUCAUCCACAUCGGCUUUCUUUUCGCAGAAUAUUAGAACAGGAGGCGCAGUCUUUUGCAGACAUUGAAGAAGGUAAAAAGCCUUGGCCUCUUGCUUCACAUAAUCAACCUCUUGAAUCACAUCAAGAUUUGCUGCUCCAGCUCUUCCCACGUUGACAGUCACAGGCUUAACCAAAGCCUUUGUAGCAAAGUUCUGAAUUUUAAUAGGCAUGGUGGCUGAAAAUAGAAGCGUUUGACGUUGAGCUUUAAAAUGGUCGAAAACUUCUCUUAUGUCAUCCUCAAAGCCUAAGUCUAACAAUCUAUCAGCCUCAUCUAAAGUUAGAUAUCUGCAGUUAUCAAGCUUCAUUAUUUUGCUUUUCAGCAUAUCCUUUAACCUUCCCGGAGUUGCGACAACUAUAUGAACACCUUUCCUCACAAUGUCCUGCUGUGACUUCUUAUCCACUCCACCAAUGCACAGCAAAGGCCUUAUCUUUGGUCUUCCGUCCUCUUCCAUAGCAUUCACAAACUCUUGUACCAAUUCGAAAGUCUGCCUUGCUAGCUCUUUCGAUGGGCAUAUAACCAACCCGAAAGGUCCUUCUCCUGGAGCAAUUGGCAUCAGAAUCUCCUCCUGCAAUGCCAUCAUAACCAUUGGCAACACGAAAACCAAUGUCUUGCCGGAACCUGUAAAUGCUAUUCCAAUCAUAUCCCUCCCGGACAAAACCACAGGAAGACCUUGAACCUGAAUGGGGGUCGGUUUCACAAUCCCUUUGGCUUUCAAAACCUUCAAAAUCCGCUCCGGAAAUCUCAUGUCCUUGAAACUCCUAAUUGGAGGAGGAAUGUGUUCCCCAUCAACUUUGAUGUGCCAUUGCUUGCGGAUCACGUCACAUUGCUUUGCAGUUCUCAUUCUAAUCUUUAAUGGGGGCUUCCAACCUGUUGGCAAAGGGUCUGUGUAAGUUAUUCCCUUUGCCAAUUCAUGAACUGACAUUAGUGAUUUGCGAUCGGGGAGCUGCUCAAUCAUCUGCUUUUCUUGUUGCAGCAGCUGCUCUUUUGGAGUAAUCUCCGGAGCAUCACGCUUCAACUGUGACGCUGUUACAAGGAGGCUAGGUAGAUUCGUCCUAUUUUCUUUGGAUUCCUCCACUUUAGAGUCAACCUGCUCAGAGCUGCUUCUUCUCUUCCUCUUAAGAAUCUUCUGCUUUGCAAUCGCUCUCUGCUUCUCAAGAAGCCUCUGCGCUGCAAUCGCUCUCCGCUUUGCCACAGGUACAUACAAGUCGCUUUCUUCUUCCAUUGAUAAACCACGUGGAGGAGUACGUGUUGAAGGAAAAAUUGUAACAAAGAGAACUGAGAAAUAUUAUUAUUGAACAGGGGCACCCUUAUAUAGAGGAGGAUUAUGAUUAUACAAAUAUGACAAUAAUAAUAGGAUAUAAUAGUAAGGAAUCAUAAACCAUCCUUCUAAAGGAAUCCUAAUACAAUUGAGAAAUAUGGGUGAAUAAGGAAUUCUGAACCAUCCUUGUAAACAAAUCCUAAUCCAUUUUAGCUUUUCUUAGUGCUUUCUCUUCCCUGCAUACAUGCACUGUCUUUAGUAAAACCGACCAUGGAAGUCUUACUAUUUUCUUGAACAAUGACGAAGGUAUUCCACUUAUUCAUUCAUCUGAGACCACUUAGCAAACCGAUGGCUUCUGCCUAUUAUGUUGAAUACCUAGGCUAGGCCUCCAAGUAAAAGGUAGGUUAAAAUAAAAAAUUUAACCAUAUCCAUAAAGACAAAUAGACAACUUUGGUUCUGGGUUAAAAACCACAAUACAUAUAGGGUUCGGCUGCUAUACACAUUUGUAUGACAUAUAUCAAGCCGUGAGCCGUCCGAUCGUUUAGCAAUUCAAAAUUCAAGACUAUCGGACGACUCACUGCUUGAUAUAUGCUAUACACAUAUGUAUAGUAGAAAAGUUCAUAUAUAUGAACUCAGAAAAUGUUAAAUAUCAAGAUCCUCUUAGCUACUUUAAAACCACAUUCUGUGAAGUUUGGCCACUUUCAACCCUCUCCAAAAUCAAUCAGCAUAAUGAAUGUACGGGAUCAUUGAAGGUGACCACCAUCAGGAAACUGAUAAUGUAAAUGCCUAUCUUACACCAGAAGCAUAAUGACAUACAGUAAAAUGAACAGAUAUUCAGCUCUGGACAAUCACAAUAUCAUGAAUUCAUCUACAUACACCAGUAGAGACAAAAAAAAUCCAUGUAUUCUACAACUUUGAUUUGAGUAUUAUGCACUACAAAUAUAAACAUCAGCUAUGAGCUAGCAACAAUAAGUAUGCCAGAGCUUGACACACUUAUGGUUGCUAGCUGAAGCUCAAAUGCUCGAUACCACAUCAUCAUCAUUUGAUAGAGAUACUACAAAAAGAAAAAGCGCAAGGCUUAUAGCUGAGUUUAUACUUCUAAACUUCAUGAUCACUGCUGUUGCAAGCUGAAGCUACAAAGCACUCAGUCCCAAGAUAAGGAUCCUUCUACAAAAUAGUACCGGCUAUCAUUGAGAGCAAAAAGCUUAAUGACGCAAUCCACUUAGAGAAAUGGGAAUCAGAAUUACAGAAUGCCUAGAAGCACAGCCCCAAGCAACUAGUAAAACCGCCCAUCUUUUCCAUUGAGCUCGGUAAUCUCACUGUUCUGUAACUCAGAAGUGGAUCCCUGAAAGAACAUUGUCACAUUCCAGGCAUAUAAGACACAAAAAUAUACGAAAAUUGAUGGUAACUCACAGAUGAAGUAUGAAACCUACUCAUAGAACAAAGAAUACCAACAAUAACCAGCAUUUGGCACACACAAUGACAUGCCACAAGGAAGUAAUCAGCAGAAUGCAGUAACAGAAAGCAUAUACAGUGAUAUGUGCAUACAUGAAAGUGAUGAAACACCAAAAGGUAGAAGCCACAGUCCAUAACUAAUAAGAAAAAUAACUAAGAGAAUGAUUAUAUUGCAUCUUUCAUCGGUAAUAGAUACCUUCAUGCAAUCAUCUGUCAUUGGUGAUUCAUGGCUGUCCAAAAAGCCUAUAGCAUCUAUUCUCGGAUAAUGAUGUAGACUGCCAAAACAAGGUAUGUUUGUCUGAGAGUCAUCGGUAAUAUGAUGCAAUUUGAUUUUCCGCUUUGCCUCAAGUAUCACUAUCGUCAUUGGAUACAGAUGAUAGCAUAAUGGCUUCAUGACCGCUUCAUUAUGGACCACUGUUCUUAACUUCUCAAACUUCUGUUCUUUUGUAAGCUUCCACAGCUCUGACCACUUCUUUUCUCCCCAAUCUUCAUAUUCAUAAAUGCAAAUCAACAGAGUUUCUGCUGCAUCUUCAGAAGUUAAUUCCCGAACAACUCCAAAAGUCAUGUGGUUGUCAUUCUGCAAGGCUUUUGGAAGUUCAAUCGUAUCAAAAGUCUCUUUCGAAAGAUCAAAGCUUACCAAGGAGUCUUUAGAUGUAUCACGCCAAUAUAUUCUAGGCUCUAUGGAACAACCAGGCCCAUCAAAGGAAAUGUCCAACUCUGGAAAGGUUAGGUCUCUCCAAGUACCCCUCUUCUGUGAAAAGAUAGCAGCAUGAAUCAACUCCAUUGAGUAAACCUUGAUGAUUUUAUAAUCCUCAUCAAUUGUAUCAUAACCAAAUCCAUAUUCUCCUAUAUCUUCAGUUUCUUCUUCUUCAAUCUUCCAGCACUGUUUUGUAGAAACAUCAAUGACAAGGAGGAUUUUGUGGUGCUUGUCACCUAAGCAUACUCUACUCCGACAAGAUCCUAAAAUGAUAACUGGAAAAUUGAAGGAUUUCAAAUCAUUGACUUGGAACUUUUCUACAAAGAAGUUGCCCUCAGCAUUGAAUCUAAUUGCUGCAACAUGACCCGGGUCUUCAAGGUUCGCAACGAAGAUGCUUGAGACAAACCUUGAUGCCGAUUCUGAUUUGGCCAUCAUGUUCCACUCUUUCGAGACUAGCUUCAUUUCCGUGAGGUGUCUUAGGUUGAAGAAUUUAAAAAUCACCGGCAUCACACAGCAGAUUCUUUGAAUUCCAAGUUGUUCAUUCCCCUACAAUAGGGUAUUCAAAAAAGUAUCAAAAAAGACAAAUCUUCCUGAAGCUAAUAUCCGUUUAUCACAUUUGCAAGAACAGAAUGCAAGACAAGUUAUUUUCAUGGAUGCUGUGUUGUUCAAUCACUUGAAGGGGUUUCUGCUAGGUCUUCAUAAUUCUCAGACACACUGAACAGUGACUAGUUCUACUGCACCAGGUAUCUAGCUACAUUAUAAUACAAUAUUUUUCCCACAAAUCAUGCAAACAAGAGUACUAAGUUAUUAAUUCUGACAAAAUCAUACAGUGUCAAACUGGAUUAUACAAAAGAAAAAGAAACAUUGAUGCAUAAAUGAUUCAACAACAGAAGUUCUCAGAAUCAGUACUCACAUUACUGUCAGCACCUCCAUUCUUCUUCAACUGUUGUUGGCAAUCACAAAAUUCAUCAUCGACAACGUUCUCCAAAUCAUUUUGGCUUCCACCAAAUAAAUCUUCAUCAUAAUCAGCACUUGGGACAACCUUCUUCAACUCAUUUUGGCUUCCACCAAAGAAAUCUUCAUCAGAAUCAGCACACAGACAGUUGUCUUUACCCACAAUGACAUAGUUCUCAGAAUCACUACCCACAGAAGUGACAUCACUCAUAAGGACAUAGCUACUGUCAGAAUCCGAAUCCCCACCAGCCAUGAUUAAACUCCUCAGAAGUCUCCACUUAUCUGAAAUGAACAAAUUGGUAUCACAUUUCACACUAUAGCAAGCCAACUUAAUUUCCCCAAAUUCUAUGCACUACAACAUGAUUCAACUUUCAACCUAUCUCAGAAAUUUUCUUCCAAAUAAGGAAACUUUCUUCACUAAGCCAUAUAUAUUCACCACACACACACACACACACACACAAAAUUAACAAAAAAAAAUUAAAAGAAAAAAAAAUAAAAACCUAAUCUUCAACCAUGAUUACUUGGCACAAAAGAAACCCACCGCAAUAAAGGAACAACCAAAUCAAAACCCAACUAAAUCACCAAAAAGAAUAUUCAAUUUUACCUACAGAAAAGGAAAAUGAACAUUAACUUGAAUUUUACAUAAGUAAACAGGGGAUUACCAAAAAGGGAAAAUCAUAUAACUAACACAGAAUUCCUAGAUUGAUUUCGAAAUUCGAAUUCACACCUCAAGACUUAAUCUUUGACUUUGUGAGAAACAAAAUUACAGAGCAAACAGAGGCGACUAAAAGUAAAAAUGAUCAAACGAUUCUCGCCUAACAGAAACCCUAAAAGACUCGAAAUUGAAGAAUUGAAAACCUAAAGAUUCGACAAAACCCCCAAAUGUAAAGACCGUAAAGAACUCAGGUUUCCGGCGGAAAAUGACACUAGGACUGAAACGAAAGGAAGGCCGGAGAAGCGUACCUCGGUAUCGGCGGAGAGCGGCGGUCGGAAAAUGGGAGAGAGAAUCGGAAGAGAGAGAGAGAGAGCGGGAAGUGAAGAGGGAGAGAGCACUUGAAGUGUUAAGGUGGGUCGCAGCAGAGUCGUCUUCUGGUCAAACCAAGUAGCAAUGUAGCAUGUGGAUUAAUAUAUGUAGCAUGUGGAUUAUGCUUCCCUAAAUUUGUGGGAGAAAGUUUAUUUUUAUUUAUUUUUUGAUACAUUAUAUUUUUUGAAUAUAUUUUUUUUAGAUUGAAAUAGUUGCAUAUAAAAACAAAAUGAGAUAAUUACAAUUGAUAUAAGUACAUCGAAUUCACUAUUGUGGUUAAUCAUCUACCCAAAAAGUAAAAUACAGAAAACAAAAACUCGAUUCUAACUAAAUAUGUGUUACAUGAUACCAGAUGAGCAUUAUGUACAUAUAAGUAAAUGAAGAGAAUUAGCAUUGCAAAAAAAAAAGGUACUCAGCUUCUUGUCUCAAUGCACUUUCACCGACACAAGGAUGCACAGAUUAACCACGACUUGAAUAGCAAACAGUGACAUCAAUCGAGCUUGAGUAGCCAACAGCAAAAUGUGUACUCGAUUAUGUAAUCACACAAAGGACACAUCUUUGAAACUACGACCACGUCAAAAGCGGUAGCAAAAGAAAACCACUCCUUUGAUCAGGUCAUGUUUGGUUCAUGGAUCAAGCCAUUGGGAAAGAAAAGUCAUUACUUUCUAUUGUUUGGAAACCAAAAGGAAAAGAGUGGAAAAAAGUGGAAAAGGAAAAUGGUUCUCACAUAAAAUGAAAAUUGGGUGGAAAAUGGUUCUCUUCCUCCACCCCAAGGAUUCAUUUUCAUUUCUCUUGUCAAAGGAAAAUUCAAAGAUUUCAUUUUCUUUCUUUUACAUUCCUCGAACCAAACUAGGCUUAAAGGGAUCCGAACAGAGUCAACUGUACAACCGCAAUAUACUAACCGUUUAGUUGAAAUAACACAAACAGUGGUGGUCUCGUUAAAUCUUUGUUCAGAGUAUCUUUUUUUUUUUUUGAUACAUUUUUGUGGGAGAACAGUUUUUGUGAUUUACUAAUUAUGAACACUAAACACUAAUGAUUCAUGAUUUCAAUUCGUCCAUUGAUUUGAUCUUAUUCGGUACCCAAACAAUAAUGAAUUUGGUUGAAAAUUUACCCAUAUAACUCCUUCUAAGUCAAGCUAACAAACACAUUUUGUUCCACAACAUGAAACUAUAUCAGUGUGCCAUUCUGCUUCGAUUGAAUGAUUAAUUUCAUAUUGAUUUGGUAACAAGCGGAUGAACUCUAAUCAUCUAGCGAGCCUCUAGAAACAUUGUGCUGCAAUUAUUUGUUGAAUACAAGUCGCUGGUUGUUGAUGUUGAUUCGGUGACCGGCACAGUUCGUUCAGUGUAAAAACCAGGCUGCUUUGGUGAAGGCAACUGAACUUCACUGCCCAACAUUAGAACCACAGAUGACAUGCUUGGUCUAUCUUCAGGUACAUGUUGCACACAUAGCAAGCCCACAUGAAGACACCUUAUUAACACUACGGUUCUGUUGCAAGAAUCACGUAACGUCACAUCAACCAGUUCCAGAGGAUUAUUUUGAGUCCAUAAUGUCCAUGCCUUGAAACAAAUUGAAGCAUAUGUCAGUGAGGAUGGAUUGCAUGUUUCUAUGCUCCUAUCAAAUAAGAAAAUGGACAUUUUUCUAUGGUAAGGGUGCUUAUAGGAUUGCAUAAUGGAAGUAAAAUAAUAUACUCACAUGUCCAAGAAGGUUAAGAUGAUGAUCUGGAUGACAAAACCCCCUGUUCUUUUUCCUGCUCAGUAUCUCUAGCAGUACAACUCCAAAGCUAAAUACAUCAGAUUUCAUUGAGAAAGUCCCAUCUACUGCAUACUCAGGAGCCAUAUAACCACUAUGAAACAAAAUCGCAGUUAGAAAGAAUUUCAGAAACAGAAUUGUAUAAGUUUACCAUGUCUAGCAAACUUACUAUGUUCCAACCACUCUUUUUGUACUGUCUUCACUUUGGUCACCCCCAAAUGUUUUAGCCAGGCCGAAGUCUGAUAUCUUUGGGUUCAUAUCAUUGUCCAGCAAGAUAUUGCUAGACUUGAAAUCUCUAUGAAUGAUUCUCAAUCUAGAGUCUUGAUGGAGAUAAAGAAGCCCUCGAGCAAUUCCCUCAAUAAUAUGGAAGCACGUCGGCCAGUCAAGCAACUUCCGUCUUUCUUCGUCUGAACAAGUUAUUAAGCAUGUUUAUUCCACAUUGAAUCGUUAGGAGUGAAAGAUGGCACAACUGAAAAGGCAUGUCUGAGUUUUAGAGAGAUUCCUACCAAAUAUAUAGAAGUCCAAGCUUCUGUUAGGCAUGUAUUCAUAUACUAGAAUUUCUUCAUCUUCUUGAAUGCAACAACCAAGAAGCUUUACAAGAUUGCGAUGCUGAAGUUUGGCUAUCAGUAGAACUUCAUUUUUAAACUCUCUCAAUCCCUGUCCAGAGUUCUUUGAGAGCCUCUUUACAGCAAUUUCCUCUCCUCCAUCCAAAGUUCCCUAUAUGGAUAACCAUUCAGAAAAGUCCAUAAAUGUUGAUAUCACAAAAUAGCUCGUUUUGGUUGCCCUAACUUAUGUUACCUUACCUUGUACACAGGUCCAAAACCACCCUCACCCAGCUUGUUGCUGCUUGAAAAAUUGUUAGUGGCAUUAGCAAUAGUGGUCAAGUCAAAUAGUGGUAACUCCAAGUCUUCCCUGCCUUCUCCAUUGUAAUCCUCCUUUCUGCAAUCGAGCUUUCUUCUAGCUCCUGAAAGACUAAAUCACUUCAGCACAAACUAAUAGAUGUAGACUUGGACUAAUGAAUUUAAAUACUAACCACCUUAUGUAAAUGCAUUUUUCAAAGUCAGAGUACUUGGAUUUGGGAUUUUGAAUUGUUUGUUUUUAAACAAUUAGAGCCAAUGUAAGGAAUUUACCUUGAUUUCUGAGUUUUCUCUUCCGUUUAUACAAAAUGAACCCAACUAUUAGCAUUCCAACAAGAAAACCAGAUAAGCCUAUCAAAAUUCCUGCUAGCUUUUUCUUGCUGAACUUGCUCUUUUUCACAAUAGGAUCUGAAAUAUCAAAACAAAAUGUUCAUGUCAUUCUGAGAGGAGUAUCUCACAUUUCGGUUAACUGUGACUACAACACCUAUUUCACCUGCACUUGCUACAGAUUUUUCAUAAUGUAAAUAUUCCAAUUUUGACAGCACUUUUUCUCAGUUCAAGUUCAAGUUACAUAACUCCCUCAAAGUAAAACAUAAAGACUUGAGAGGUUUCACAAUUUUGGGAAUUAGCCAAAGUUAGACUGAGAUUCCUAUCAAAAUUCACAUUUCAGCCAAGUUUCUAAACAGAACACUAGAAAAACACUAAAACACUAAAAGUUUAGUCAGUAAUUUUCUGAAGAAAACAAAACACUAGAGUAGGCCAUUUUCUAUCUUGCUGGCCUGAAGCAGCCAGAUAAAAGAGAGAUCAGAUAUAAGUGUAAGAAGCUGAUAGAGAGAUCAGAUAACAGUCCAAAAGCCUACCUAGGUCAGAAGCAGCCAGCCGUAUAUACAGGUCUUGAGAAUCAGAGGUGAACUCUCUAAUGUCAUUGAGGUUCCCAAACCAAAGCAAGCAGCCACUUCCGCCUUCCCUGACAUCUAAAUUAGCAUAUGCAGAACAUGAACAGUUUCCCGAACAUAUUCCCUGGCACUCCUUGAGGCUCAUUCUCUUGUCAUACCACGAAGAAGAUGUGUCUGGCAGUUUAAAGUUGCUGUACUUUACAAAGCCAUCUGUAGAGCUGCAAGCUAAUGGAGUCUCACGAACACAUCCCUCGGACCAAUUCGUUGUGUUCCAAUCAUUUGGAGAUUUUGGCACAUACCCUUUCAAGCAUGAACAUACAGGAGUGUUACUGACAUUACAUCUAGCAUUAGCGCCACAAAAGGCAUAAUUUUCACACUGAUCUGCUUGAGUUGACAAGAACGGUUCCCAACUAGUUGAGUGAUCUGUCCAGGUAAACCACUGUGCAAUGCCAUAAGGGUUCAAUACAUAUCUCGCAAAUGUUGACUUGUUGACGAGUGUGUACUCAUAAUAGACCUCAUCCUUAGUCAUCACAAAUUCAAAAACCGCUACUGGAUUUGGCCUUCCUUGAUAUCCAGUUAAUUCAACACCGUUCCAUGUCCCUGCCCUAGUCAGUGUCUUAGCUCCCUUCAUGAUAAAAAUCUGGGGGAAACCAUGAGUGUCCAUUCGUAGUGAAAACUCUCCUUGAGCAGGAUCUUCUGUGCUCCUCCAGGACGAAAUAUACCUAUCUAAGCCAGUAACCAAAUUCCAACCAAGCUUCAUAUCUGGCAGGCGUGUAUCACAAGGAUAAUCAAAACUCUGCCACAAGAAGUUAUCAGGGUUGGUUUCAUUUCCAUCUUUCACAACAAGAUUUCCUGAAUCCAAGAGUUGCGAGACUGGAUUAUUCCCUGCGGUUCUUGAUGAAUUGGAUGACCAUACAGUGCCAUUUGAGCUAUUGAGAAGGACUAAAACUCCCUGAUCAGUUACCUUCAAAACUCCUGAAGAAUCAUCAAGUGGUAUUUCUCUGUUGGCCACCCAUACAACUGUCUCAGUAGAAAAAGUGUACCAUAUUCCCAAGUAUCUUCCUUUCACUUUACCGGGACUAAAGAAUCCCAGUUCAUAGCUUCCACCUGCUGAAAUCAGUGUUUGACCAUCUUUAACAAAUUGGUUUGGAGUAAUGGAGUCUAGUGCAUUUGAGGUUCUUAGGAAGGAAAACAAGAACAAGCACACAAAAAGAGUUUUCAUGGUUUGCAUAGAUGUUCUGAUCAGAAUGCUUAGGACAGAAAUAAAUGCACAAUACGUGCAGAGAAAUUGAAAUAUCUAAAAGAAGGAAAUAUCUAGCUUUAGAUCUCUCUGCCUAGAUUUGUUUAGUCUCUCCACUAAUCCUGUUUAAAGUAAGGCCUCAUUAGGCCCUACUGUUUCAUAAUGUAACAACCACACAGAAGUAUGGCAAACCUGGUUUAUCCAUUUUCUUGAAUUCCAAUCAACUUGAAGUUUAAUAUGCAGUAUGCCUGGUAUAUAUUUCUCCCCCCUUUUUUGUCUCUUUUCAAGUGUCUUUUCUUAAAGGGGGUAGUAUAAUGAUAUUUGGUAGAGUUGGGUGUCUUGAUUGACAUGCAUAGCGAUUUAAAACACAACAAAAACAAAAACAAAAAACUUAGACUGAAAAAAAGUCAUAAACUAACAGACAUGCAGUACACACCAAUGAAACUAGACGGCAGCUGAUUAGGAAAGGACAAUAUAUAUCCCACAAUCUCCGGAUUUGCAUUUGCAAUCAAAUUCAUCUGUAAACUUAGUUUUGAAAACUCGGUAGAAAGAAACUCAUAUAAACUAAUAUAUAUGCUGUUCAAAAGAAGUAGACUCGAUGAAUUUUAUGGCUGAUUAUGAAAUUGAUCUAUACAUACCAGAAGUGGAUCGAUGCCGACAAGCUGUACAAAUUCUUCCAAUAACUUCAUAGGACAAUGUUUAGGAAUUUGACUUCUUUCACUGGGGAUAUUGCCUGACCAACCACAAAGCAUGCAUUCAUCAUAGCAACAUCUGUAAAGAUUCAUUCUUCUGAAAAAACAAAAAAGAAACUGCUUUGAAGUUAGCUAGUAUCAAGCAAUACAAAAUCAUCUAAAUUUCAUCUGCAGUAAUGCAGUAUAUAAUUUCAGAAUUGCUGCAUCAUAUCACCAAUAGAUCUCAGACUAAAGGUUUGUUUGUUUCUAGAAUUGGUUGGCUUUGGCAUAUUAUAUCAUGCAUAUGAAAAACAUAAGAAAGUAGCAUAUCGACAUAACUGAUCAAAAGGGCGUGUCAGUUUGGGCUCCCUAGUUUCCUUCCACACUUGUGUCACAUUGCUUUCUCUCCUUGAUUAUCCUAAAUAACAAAAAUAACAAAUGAAAGAUUGAUCCUUAACACCUGAAAUUGAAAACCAACCUUCAAAACAUCAAGUUUCUCCCUCCAAAGGGUAUAAGAAGCCGAAACCAUUGAAGCCACAAGAAUCCAUGCUUCCAGAGCUACCCAAAUCAGUUUCUCAUCUCACAAGCCCAUUCCGUUCAAAAUUUGUUGUCAUUCUGGCGAAUCAAAUUCCCAUUGAGAACUUGAAGUAUUGUUCCCAACUUCCCAAACAGGCAUUGCAUGAUGGCUAACAUAUGAACGCCUAAAGUGAGCAUCAAUGUAUAAGUAUACCACAGUUUUAUUGAUGAAGGACUGAUUGAGAGCAACCGCACACCCGCCCUUACUUUGAAAAAAAGAAAAAGAAAAAAAGAACUACUCUAGUGUAAUAGUGUUGAGUAGACUAAGACCCAGUGUUCAAAAAGUAAUGAAUUGAGUAGACCUAGUGUUCAGGUCGGCCCAAUGCUUCAGCCUUUUUUUUGUGAACUGAUGUAUAAGUAUAACCCGAUAAAGAUCGGAUCUUGGGCUAAAACCGGGUUGAGAAGAAGAGAUUGUGUUCCACAAGCUGCCGGAGGGCGCGUGGAUAUGGAUAACAAAACAUGGUAGUGGACGGGGACUGUACUGCUGCCACUGGAAAACGGAGAGAAGCCAAAGUCAGUUACACAUGAAAAUCUAUAAUAUUUCUUCCAUUACCAAACUAGAAAACCAAAACCAGCAAACUGGUUCUUAAGCUGUGGAAGAUGAACCAACCAAUCACUCUUUGAACAAACACAACCCAACAACUGCUAUCCAGUGUAUGUUGAUCCCUUCCUCUUAGUUUCUCUUCAUUACUUCAUGUUCAAAUUUCCACUCUUUUGUUCCCUCUUUAUUGUUAUCCAUUUGUUUUCUGUUCAUGUGAAUAUAUGAUGAGGAAUUCUUGUUAGUGAUUAGUACUUGUAGUAAGGUGUUUUAGUUUCUAGUAGUUUCUUGGAUUAAGUUUCCAUGGCGAUUCUUAUAAACUCAGUGUCUCCUAUAACACACUCAUCACCAGAAACUGCUAGAAAGGGUUGUGGGUUCUUUUCCCACAUCAGGGUCCAGACUUUUUUACUCAACAAAGGCUUUUCUAGAGUUUUGGCAUCAACCCAGAUUACCAUUUCUCCAAAGGACACUGUUUUCACUUUGCCCAAUUGGAGAAAUCCUAAGAAUGAUAGAAGAAGUAGAGAAGUUAGGCUAAUAGAUGCCUUUCAGCAUUUAGAGUCUAUGACAGGGAAGGGCCAAAAGCCUGAUGUGGGCCAAGCAACUCAGCUCUUGUAUGAUCUGUGCAAGGCGAGUAAGAUGAGGAAGGCGAUGAGAGUGAUGGAAAUGAUGGUUGCUUCAGGCAUUAUACCUGAUGCAGCUUCAUAUACCUUCUUGGUGAACUAUUUGUGUAAAAGAGGGAAUAUUGGGUAUGCAAUGCAGUUGGUUGAGAAGAUGGAGGAGUAUGGAUAUCCAACGAAUACUAUUACUUACAAUUCGCUUGUUAGAGGGCUUUGUGUGAGAGGUAACUUGAAUAAAAGCUUGCAGCUUUUGGAUAAGCUGAUACACAAGGGGCUUGUCCCGAAUGUUUAUACUUACUCUUUCUUGAUUGAAGCGGCUUACAAGGAAAGAGGGGUCAACGAAGCAAUGAAGCUCCUGGAGGAAAUCAUUGCUAAAGGUGGAAAGCCUAAUUUGGUUAGUUACAAUGUCUUGUUGACUGGUUUGUGUAAGGAAGGCAGGAGUGAUGAGGCAAUGAAGUUCUUUAGGAGUUUGCCUUCGAUGGGACUCAGACCAAAUGUUGUGAGCUAUAACAUUGUACUGAGGAGCUUGUGUUAUGAAGGUAGGUGGGAAGAGGCGAAUGUGCUUUUAGCUGAGAUGGAUGGUGAGGAUCGGAUACCCUCCGUAGCUACGUAUAACAUCUUAAUCGGUUCUCUUUCUCUUCAUGGUAGAACAGAACAUGCGCUUGAAGUUUUGGAUGAAAUGGCAAAGAGUCGGUUCAAGCCUACUGCUGCAAGCUACAAUCCGAUAAUCGCUCGUCUCUGCAAAGAGGGGAAAGUGGAUCAUGUGGUUAAGUGUCUAGAUCAAAUGAUAUUCCAGCGAUGUAAUCGUAAUGAGGGAACAUUCAAUGCUAUUGCUGUGCUAUGUGAGCAAGGGAAGGUGCAACAAGCAUACUCUAUCAUCCAAAGCCUCGGGAAUAAACAGAAGUGCUCCACAACUGAGUUUUACAGAAACGUAAUCACAAGCUUGUGCAGGAAAGGAAAUACAUAUCCAGCAUUGCAGAUUUUAUAUGAAAUGACCAAGUAUCGUUUCACUCCAGAUUCUUAUACCUAUUCAUCUUUGAUCAGAGGGUUAUGUUUGGAGGGUAUGUUAAAUGAAGCAGUGGAGAUUUUCAAGGUCAUGGAGGAAAACAACCAAAGGCCUGAUACUGAGAAUUUCAAUGCCCUUUUACUCGGAAUUUGCAAAUGUCGAAGAACAGAUCUCGCCUUGCAGGUUUUUGAGAUGAUGAUUGAGAAAGGGCGAAUGCCUAAUGAAAUGACAUAUACCAUUCUCGUGGAAGGGCUUGCGCAUGAAAAGGAAAUGGAGCUGGCAACCGAAGUUUUGAGAGAGUUGCAGGGCAGACGGGUUAUGAGUCCAAAUACAGUGGAAAGACUAGUUAUGCAGUAUGACCUUGAGGAAAUACCACUGUAAAGAUAGGGGGAUAUUGUGAAGACCAAACCAGAUAAGGCUUUGAAAUCAGAUCCAGGGCGCUGUUCAACAUUUGAUAUAUACAUCAGAUGAAGGAGACACGAGAAGAAUAGGCAUUAUAUCAUGAAUAUUGAUAUAAUCAGACUACAGAACUGAGCGUGGAAGUGGAACUGUGGCACCAGAACAUUUGCUUACAGCUUCAAGCCAAUGACUGUUAAUUAUACACACAGCUUGUAUCCUUCCAAUUUUGUUCUGUUAAUCAAACCCAACACCUCUUUAUGUUCACCUUUCAUACCAGUUGAAGAAAAUUUAAACUGACCCUUGUCUAAUGGUAGCAACAAAUAAUGAAUCAUAAUUACAGAUGUGCUAGAUGACCAGUGGCUGUGAGAUGCGCAUUUCCUCAGUAGGAACAAAGAUUAAGCCAAGAACUGAAGGGAUUUACAUUGUAAACGAUAUAAAAUUAAGCCAAGAACUGAGUAGAUUUACAUUGUAAACGAUAUAAGGUCUCUAAGAAAGGGCACCUUAUUCAUAACUUUUGACAUUGAAAGAAUCUGAUAUUAAAUCCACAAGCAGAUAUUAUAUAAGGUCAAAGGGCACCUUAUUCAAAACUUUUGACAUUGAAAGAAUCUGAUAUGAUUAAAUCUUCAAGCAGAUAUUAGCUGAAGCCAAAUCAAAUCCCAUUCCACCAGAUGGAAAAACCAAAUUAAAUCCCAUUCUUCCAUUACUGGAUAGUAGAACAGCAGCCAUAACCUUGGGGUUUGGAACACAUAUUGUAACAACACAUUCUAAUUUUUUAUGAUCAAGCAUAACCUGAGAUGUUAAACAAUGACAGACCACUACUGUCCAGUUACCCGGUACAAGGGUAGAUAAGUGAAAAACUAGUGUCUGGUGUGUAAUAUCAGGUACAUGCCGGUCAAGCUUUAGCAGGAUUUGGGUGAUGGGUGUAAAAAAACACACAACACUAUGUACAUUAGCCAAAUCUCAAUCCCUACCCAUAUGUUUGAUAUAACAAUUCGCGUGCAAUCAAACUAGAUGGGAAACAAUUGGCAUGCAAUCAAACUAGAUGGGAAAAGAAUGUCAUGACAACAGCCCAGGACUGGGAUACCAACCUAGCAUAAUAAGCUUCCCACAGUUUCCAACUAGCAGCAUAAAAACUGAAAGAGAAGACAACAGAACAUGUUCUUUAAGUUUAGGCUGGUGAGCUAUUAAAAGAUCUAAACUUCAACAGUUCAUAAUCCUACCAACACCAACACCAAUCAGUGAGAAUAGUUGCAAAUAACAAAUCACAAAACAAGAGCUAUAAGAAGAACAAGCAAUCCAUAAUAUAUGAUUAAACAAAAGCUUCAGUAUCAUAAGAUCCAUGAACUAGUUCGACAAAAACUAAUAGAGCCAUUAAGUUCAAAACACAUAAUUCAAAGACACUGGAAAUUAACAACAUAACAUAAAGAUAGUCAUAAUCCCAAUCUACGAAGAGAAAGGAACUAAUCACUCAUAAACAUCCUAGAGGCUCCACGUCUACAAAAACUCCAGCAGAAGCUUUGGUGCAGAUUGAGAGACCCCAAAGGUGCCUACUUCGAUCUCUGCCUCAUCUUUCGGCGCUUCCUCUUCAACCUCCUCAUCCUCUUCUUCUUCCACUGCAACAGUUUCAAGCCACAAAAACCAAUCAGUAUCAAUUACUAUGAAAAUUUCAUUAUCAGAUUUAAGGGAACAUUUGGAUUUGAACGAAUCCGAACAAGAAGGUGACGAAGGGGUGUGAAGAAGAUACCUUGGCCCUCAUCUUGGGUGGGGAAAAGGUGCAGCUACUUCAAAACGACGGCGGAGCUCUCCCAAGGGUUUUGAUGUGCGUGACGAGUCUGAAGACCCUGAACCCUAAUGUGUCUGCCGCGUUUAUAUAUAUAGGCGUGGGCCUGGCUAUAUUGGGCUUUUAGCUGAAGAGAAAUAAGUGGGCAGUUUACUGAAUUCCUAGGCCCAAUUACUCAUAAACGGAUAAACCUCAGUAAAUACGUACGUUUAACCAAUGCACCACAUAGUUCUUUGAUCAAUUUUGUAGUCAGUUAUUACCGUUCAGUCGAAACUAACAACGGAGAAUAAAGAAGUUCCGAUGAUGUUAUUUCGCCUAUCAUUUUCCACCGUUGGCUCAAUUGAAAAACCUCGGUCGCAAUAGACAGACCCUUAACUCACAAUAAAAAAAAUUAAGGUAGACUGAUUGAGGUUUUCUUCGGUCGCAAUAAAUAAAACCCUCAACUCUAUACAAUAAAAAAAAUCAAGGCUCGUAAAGUCGGUGGAGAUUCGAUUGCUUAAUAUAUUAGUCUCAAAUCUCGAUAAUGUUAUGCUCCUCAGAAUAUUGGAACGAUACAUAGAUUAUUAACGAAUCCGAUUGUUACCAUCGCAUUACUCAUGCACUAAGAUUAGAUGCAAAAAAGGAUCCAUAUUUUAUGGUUUACAAAAUGGUGACCGGAUGAACUACCGCUCUGAAAUUAUCCAUAUUUUAAUUAGUAGGAAAAACAUAUUUUGAGGGAGAUAAUCUGAAAAAUAAUCAUAUGAAGCCCAACUAAAUCCUAUGCUUAAACAUCAAUAUCUACUCCCAACGUUUGGUACACGAAGAAGCUGACAAAACUGAACUGAAAGUCUGAAACAAAACCAACACUUCCAGAGUUCGUUAGACUGAAAUCCAAACGAGUCCGAUCAGAUGGAAAACGGAGACAACCACGGCGAGGCAUCGUACCCAAAUGCCGACCAGACCAAAAUCGAGAACAAGAAGACAACAACAGCGGAAUCAUCGGAGGCUUUGGCAAAGGGACUGUCUUCGACCCUCGCCGCCAUCAUUAAAGACUUCGAUUCCAAAGCCCAGCAGACCUUCACCAGCCAAGACCAGCUCUCUCAAGCCCUCGAUCGCCUCACCCGCGGUAACUAAGUAACUUAUUAUUUUGUUUUGGGGUAAUUUUGAUUGUUAUUUACUGAGAUGGUGUUUGGUGGGCAGAGCUGGAUAAGUUGUUGGAAGAUGCUCCGAUGCCGUUUAUAAUGCAACACGCGGCGAAGAUCACGGCGGUUAGGAAGAGGGUUUUGUCUCUUAACUCGGUUUUGAAGAAUGUUCAACGCCGUCUUGACAAUAUAGACCGCAUGUUAACUGUUGGAGUUCCACAUCCUAAUCAACAUGGUAUGUUGUGCCUUUUUGUGUUUAGUUUUCACUCUAGGAGUAGAUUAGUGCUAAAAAUCUAACUACUGUGGUUUUCUAUAUUGCCGAAUGUUGCUAAAAGUAGUAAACUUCACAGUAGAAUGUCAAUUGUUACAAUAAGAGUUGAGUAGUUUGUGUAGCUUCCAAAGUGUCUAAGUUUAGCUGAAUUGAGUUUGCAAAGGACUAACAAGUUACCCUUGUGAUGGAAUGAAAGAGACAUAGGUCAUACAGAUGUGAACUCCUCGCAGUUUGCGGUGAUUGAUAUAGUGUGAUAUGUAGUUAUAAGUGCAUUGUUCUUCUUGCUUUCAAAACUACUCUCUAAAAGCAAUUUAUGUGUGAUAUCAAUGUGCCUAACGAUCAUUCACUAGGAGAAGUUUGGGAGUUCUAUAUUAAGCAAUCAAUGUUUUGGCAUUGCUUGGGUCUGACAUUGUAGCCUUGUUGUUUAUGUACUUAACUAUGGUUUUGAAUGAGUGGCUAAAAGUGAAUUGCCGAAGCUUCUGUGUGUGUAUGUGAUGACUGAAUUUGAAAGGUCUAGGGACCUAAUGAAUUAUUUAGUAUAUGUAGAGCAUUAACAUUCUAUUUAUACACUUUUUUAGGCUUCAAAAUUGAAUCUUGCUGUACAUAACAUAGUGACUAAUGCAUCUGAAGUCAUAUUUGCAGAUAAGACGAACACUGAACAUUCAGGACUGCAUUAACACUGUUGUGUAUUGGAGGUAAGACACAUGUCUUCUUGUUAUGAAAAAGAGAACCACAAACUGUAAACUAGAACUCUGCAAAUAAUAACAUUUUGUUCUAUAUGCCAAGAAUCAUCAGUAAGUUUUAGAAUGUAGAAUGUUCGAAUACUGCCAGUGGCUCAACAGAUAAUGAUGGAUACAGUUGUUUAUAGAGCUUGUUAGAUGAUAAACCUUCUGCUAUAAUGUCUGCAAAAAGUACAAUCAGAAACUGCAGUUCUCAAUCAUAAACAAAGUGACAGACUAAAUAAAACCAUGUCCAGUCUCUUAUGGAAAAUAGAAAUUAAGUUUCUGACGUUAUCAAAGUUUUUGUUAUUAAUUUCAACAAGACUCUCUUGAUCUAUAUCUUCUUUUAACUGAUUGAUGGUUUCAUCUUAGUUUCUCAACAGUCAAUCUCCAGAAAAGAUCUAGCACAGUAUCGGGAUUGCAGGGGACAACCUUAUAGUUUUGGGUCCGUCAGUCAACCAAUUGAAGAAUUUUGCCAUCUUUGGCCGAAGCUCAUUGAGGAGUUUAAAAACCACAAGGACGCUCCAUCAUUUGACACAUUGAUGUUACCUGAAAGUCAGAAUCGCUGAAGAGUAAUUAAGGAGAAUAUUUGACAGUCUAGUGUAACUAUGGACAUUGAGUGGGUAGAUAUUUGGCGUUCUGAAUGUUGAAUGGCAGUAGUUUGUGCAGAUGGCAAAUGAGAGAUAACUGUUUCUGGAAUCCUAGUUUAGCAUUAUUUGAUUUUCCAACAUUUGAGCUGAUAUGAUCACUUAGAUAUAUGUACAUUUGUAUUUUGCUAUUGCAAGGUUUUUUGGGGUAAAAAAUGUCAAUGAGAUGUUGGUGUGAUAGAUUUCUGGAUUUCAUGCUGCCACCAAGUCACCAACUCCAUCUGAUUCAUUACAGGCUCAAAUGAAAUCUGCUCAAACAUCAUGACACUAUAAAUUCAUUCUACUCAAAUAUAUGUGAGCAAAUUUACUGAUUGCAAUGUGAAAAAAACAAAAAUAAUUCGGAUUGAGCCAUAAGUAUUGGGCCGCAAUAAAUGAUAGAUUAUAAAAGGCCCAAAACAACAUUGUAAACCCUAGUCUCUCACCCUUAUAAAUACCGGGGUUCUCAUUCUUCUUCUCUCAUCUUCUUUUUGUAUUUUGGAGUCUGCUGCUGUUUUGUUCAUUGCUUCAUAGAUUCAUAUGAUUACAACUAGGAAAGUGAUGAGAAGUUUUGUCGCCCCAGUCUUACCCGCAUCAUAAAAAUUGUUGCUUGGUGGUGAUUGACUCUUUUUCUGAUUCCUCUUCUUCAAGUUUUUCUUUUCUUCUUUCAAGUUUCUGGUAUUUGAAUACAAAAUCGCAAGGAUGUGUAGGAGAUAUGAUGAUGAAUAUCCCAUUGUUCCAUCACUGAAUUCAACUUUGAUGACAAAUCAACCAAAUUACAUGCACUACCAUCUGAUCUCUUGCUUCAAAAUCCUUGCUUCUUUUUCUUUUGGAUUGUGUUCUUGUGUAAUUUCUAAAGCCCAGUGGUAUCUGAUGCACAGAUUUAUUGUUGUGGCUGAGCAUUUCGUUAAACCUGGGCCAAAUCGAUUUCCAAAACAGGUCUUGCGACACAGUUUGCUUUUGUUUAUUCCAUGAGCACUCUGUUACUUAAUCCCUGCUUACAUUCCUCUUUCCAUUUCAUUCCCAAUUGAAAUUGACAUACAGACUGAUUAAGAAUUGGGUUUCUAGAUAAUUGGUACAAAUGAUAAUAGAAGAUGGAACUGAACACCCAUCAGAUUUUGGAUUCAAGAUUUGAGCUUUGAGUUUCACAAACUCAACCCAGCUGUGUCAAAAUAAUUUAUUGAACUAUAAAAUUGGAACAUUAAGCAAAUUUCAAUUCGAUUUUGGGUCUAUAAACUUAUGCAACAAUCUCAGUACGUUAUCAUUGAGAGACAGAAGAGUAGCAGGAUGCUUGGAGUUGUAAGUGUUAUCUCAUAUUGUAAGUCCAUGUUCAUCAUGAACCUUCCAAGAUUAGAACUUUGGACAAAGCAAUAUUUUCUGAUUCUAUGUUUCUAUUAAACCCAAUAAUAUCAAAUCAACUUUCUCAGGAUUUGUUCCUUAACUCUAUCUCCAAUGCUUGUUUCUAUGGCCAAAUAAGAUAUUUGGGUAACUACCAACCAAACACAACUUACAAGCUAUUAAUCACCCAAAGAACUAAAGUUGGGUUUUGGGUGACAUUCAUACUAAGAUCCUAGGACACAGCUUAUCGUGUUCAUAUGAGUUCAUAUGAUGAAGCGGAUAGUCUAAAGACUGAGAAAAGUUGCGGAGGAAGUUUUUUGAGAACUGUUAGCAACAUAUUAUUCUUAUUUUUGUCGCCGUGAUAUUCUAAUUAAGUUUCCACCACUCACCUCGAUUCUACUGUUCUUAUGUCAUUGCCGGAACAACAAUAAUUUCUAUGGAAAUAGCAGAAGCAGCGAGCAAGGGGGCAAGCAGACAAGUGCCUGCCUAAUAUGGCAAAAUAUAUAGCUAUUUCACCAUUAGCAAAAAAAAAAAAAAAUAAAUAUAUAUAUAUAUAUAUAUAUAUAUGAAAGAGAGCUACUGAUCGAUGUGUUAUUAAUAAUUUAUUAUCGUUAAUUUUACGGAGGUAAAAGAUCCACGUGAAAAUCCAGAAAGAAAAUGACAGCAAAAACAAAAAGAGGGCACAUAAAAACAAAGGAUUACAAAUCAAGUCAGUCGUCGUCUCUCUCCAGAGGGCCUGGUCUGGUUUUCUCUGAGGAGACCUGAUUGGAUACAUCUGUGAUGCCCCUGAGGCUAGCUUUAGCCCUAGCUCCUUCCUCUCUUCUCCCAAUAUGGUCAAAUCUGCUACUGCAGCUUUUCCCCUAGCCUGCUUCCCAGUACAGAUUUUCUAGAAUAACACAUCCAAUCAACAAAUUCAUUCACAUAGGUAGAUGAGUAGUACGUACUUGUAUGCCCUCGGGCUCAACAGUAAUCAUAGAUGAGUAUGGGUAGUUUUGUGGUUCGUGUGAGAGCUAGCAUCGCUACCACAUUAUUAGUCUCCGAACUCACUGAGGUAAAUCAUAUUUUGGGAAACCAUAUACAGUAUUUAUGAACGUAGAAGUUCGUCGAAUAAUGGUAAGUUAAUGUUAAUCACCGAUCACAAACACGAAUCUGUUGUUUAUGCAUUUGGCAUCGAUGUAUUGUUGAAUUUUGAACAUCAAUGUGUUAGCCAAAUCGUGUGGUUUGUGAUGAUAAUUGGCAGUCUGCCUCAUCAACCAACUUUCACCAUUGAGUCUGAGGUUAUAGUUCUAGUGUACUGAGAGCAUUUUACGUAUUAGAUAGGUUGAACUACAGAUACAGUAUCUGUGAUCGGACGUACUUAACAACAAUUGAUGAAACAUCUGUAACUUUGUUUGAACAGGUCUGUAGUGAAAAAUUUGUUCGUUUUAUGUAGCAUUUUUGUUUUACAUUCAAUCAUAUAUGUUUGGUUGGAUCCACAUGAACAGAUUUCUUCUUUUUGGGAAGAUGAACAGUUGAUGCUGGCAUGGGCAUGCGUGAGAUGCCAAUUAUUGGUACUAUCCCAGUCAAUGAAACUUCACCAUCCUAAAAUUAUCAUAUACUGUGGAAGGACAAGAAAUCUACAAGCAAUUGGAUUCUAAAAGAUGAAAUUUCACCAUCGAUGGUGAAGAUAUAAGUACACUCUUUUACCCGUGCCUGUCUGCCAAACAGACCAUUAAUUGGUCAUGCCAUUGCUUCAAACGUUUUGGACAUGAACAAAUGGCAAAUAGUGAGCUUCUGUUUACUCAGCAAUCCAAACUAUUUAGUAGAAUUGAGGAAAAGCUGCACUUUUUUUUUNUUUUUUUAAGACUGAAUUGAUAUAUUGAAUAGAUUUAAUCGAUAAAACUCAUACAACCAUACAAGGUCAGGCAUAAGGUGUUCAGAAACAACCCUUACAAUUGAUGCUCAAAUAUGCAUUGCUACAAUCAUAAAAGAACUGUAAAAAACUAGGUCCAAAGCGACGGACACCAAAACUACAAAGACGGAGUCCAAAAAUGAGGACACAAAAACUAGAAAGCAAGUAAGCAAAUAAAAUACCCUUGCACUACCCACUACCCUAUGCAAAAACACAAAUGGUGUACAUCUCUAUUGAAAAACACAAGCAAAAGUCGUGGAUUAGGGAAAUGCUAGGGUUGUAACCUAACCAUUUAAGAUCCGCCCCAAGGUCCGACACACAUACCGCUCCGACACCACAAGAUCCAACAUCGUAGACUCAUAAAUCAGCACACUUACCACCUGUUUAGGACUGGUGCUGCUUCCAUAACGACGACCACGCUUCUUCCCUAAACCACAAGACACACUUGGAGCCAUUGUCAUCAUUCCUUCUUCAUUGAGCAGAAAACCUACAUCCUCCGGUGUAAGUCCAACCGACAUGAUAGCCAAACAAUGCUUAGCUCUCUUUCCAGCAUCCUUCGUCUCCUCUUCUCGACCACGACGCACCUUAGAGAUUUUCGCCGGCUAUCGCAUGUCUAAAAUAAACCAGAUUGAAACACUCAUCUUCUCCUUUGGAAACCAGGGAGGGAGGGUAUAGAUGCAUAUGCCUAAACAACCAACAGGGCAGUGGGCAUAUCUCUAAAAGUGACAAAAAAUAGAGAUCCCUCAUUAGAAUAUAUAUGAGCCCUUCAAAUGAGGGAUUCCUAUUUUUGUGACUUUUAGAGAUAUGCCCACACCAUUAGAUCUAUUUUUUAAUGGGUUUUGAUAACUGAGAUUAAAACAAAAAACUUAACACUUAUGUCAAACAUACACCGUUCAAGAUCAUUAAAAAUAAAUCAAACAUUUUGAUGACUUAACGAUCACCAAAUAUUGUGAAAAUUUACAGAAGUGAUCUACUCAUAUACACCUACAAAUUGAACGGUGGAGAUGUGAUUUAGUGAUCGGGAAGAAAUAAACAAAAAAAAGGAAUCUCUCAUUGGAAUGGUCAUGUGUGUGUGUGUAUAUAUAUAUAUACAGAGAGGAUGUGAAGCGGAUGUCCGCACUCCGGCUUAAAGUGCGGACAUCGUCUGUUCUCCGCCGUCUCACGCCGACGACGGCUUCUCUCCUUCCCGGACGACAGCACAGGCUUCCAGGACGGCUUCUCUCCUUCCAGGACUGCCCGGCGACAAGUUUUCCGGCCAACCUUGAUCAAUCAUGGUGUUUUCCGUAGCUUCAAUCCGGUCGGAAAACUUGUCGCCGGCCAGUCUUGGAAGGAGAGAAACCGUCCUGAAGCCUGUGCUGUCGUCCGGGAAGGAGAGAAGCCGUCGCCGGCGUGAGACGGCGGAGAACAGACAACGUCCGCACUUUAAGCCGGAGUGCGGACGUCCGCUUCACAUCCUCUCUGUGUGUAUAUAUAUACAAUGCUGAUCAGGUGCGGACGUCCGCACCAAAGUUUUGGUGCGGAUUUCCAUUUUUGCACCACUUCCCGAUCGAAUUUCCUCAAACUUCCUUCUAGAUCAUCUCUGCAAAAUUUCAGCCAAUUUGGUGAUUGUUAAGGCCCUCAAACUCGAAAAACAAAUGGACGGACUGAAUUCUGUUCGGUUGUGUUCAUACCAGAAAAACUCGAGUUUGAGGGCCUUAACGAUNNNNNNNNNNNNNNNNNNNNNNNNNNNNNNNNNNNNNNNNNNNNNNNNNNNNNNNNNNNNNNNNNNNNNNNNNNNNNNNNNNNNNNNNNNNNNNNNNNNNNNNNNNNNNNNNNNNNNNNNNNNNNNNNNNNNNNNNNNNNNNNNNNNNNNNNNNNNNNNNNNNNNNNNNNNNNNNNNNNNNNNNNNNNNNNNNNNNNNNNNNNNNNNNNNNNNNNNNNNNNNNNNNNNNNNNNNNNNNNNNNNNNNNNNNNNNNNNNNNNNNNNNNNNNNNNNNNNNNNNNNNNNNNNNNNNNNNNNNNNNNNNNNNNNNNNNNNNNNNNNNNNNNNNNNNNNNNNNNNNNNNNNNNNNNNNNNNNNNNNNNNNNNNNNNNNNNNNNNNNNNNNNNNNNNNNNNNNNNNNNNNNNNNNNNNNNNNNNNNNNNNNNNNNNNNNNNNNNNNNNNNNNNNNNNNNNNNNNNNNNNNNNNNNNNNNNNNNNNNNNNNNNNNNNNNNNNNNNNNNNNNNNNNNNNNNNNNNNNNNNNNNNNNNNNNNNNNNNNNNNNNNNNNNNNNNNNNNNNNNNNNNNNNNNNNNNNNNNNNNNNNNNNNNNNNNNNNNNNNNNAAAAAAAAAAAAAAAAAAACGAAACAUGAAUAUUAUGCAGUCUGAUAUUACGAUCAAAAUUAUUCAUCUUCUGAGUUAUUAUAUUGAUGUUCGUUAUAAGCUUCUUGAUGAACCUUCUAUCUAUCCAAUUGAACACCAUAUAUUCUCAAGUUAACUCAUUUCCCAUAUGUUGUAUGUCACUUCCAAAUUAAUUUGGUAACCCAACCUAGCUAGCUAGAAUAGCAGAAUGCCUGCCUGGUGGGGGUGUGUGGAGGGGAGAGAGGAGGGCGGGGGGUCCGGGGCAUCUGUUUUUUUCUUGGUACACUUGGUUAGCUAGCUGCAGCCUGCAGGUAACCCUUCAAUUCCUGGUGAAAAUCAUUUAAUGGGGUUUUAAGUUUUAAACAAUUGCCAAAAAUAUUGGGACUGUGUGACUGAGACUAGUCAAUUGCCCUAUGAAACAAUUCAGGACUACCCUAAUAGCAGUAUAGCACAAUCAUAGGAGUGCAGAGGGCAUCAAUGCCGCAUCAUAUAUGGUUCAAACGGAGGUCUUCCGUUAUUAUUUUCACCAGCAAUGUGUGUGAUCCACAAUCCGGAAUGAACUGAUCAGAAAGCUUGCACUAAAAAAAUCCCUGUUAUAAACUUGCUCAUCUGAGUUUCAUUAUUGUAAGUAUUGCUCCAUUUCUAGCCGGAGAUUUGAACCAACUGCUCCCUUGGUCCCUUCUGUAUCGAUAUUUUCCUCACUCGGCUUUAAUGGUUUUUCUCACUUUGUCUUUCUCUGACUCCAUAGCAAAGCCCUCUUCCUUAUCUGAAAGCCAUACCAGAAAGAAAAUGAUUAAAGAGGUGUGCUUUUUGUUUGUUGAAGAAAUUAAAUUAUCGAGCAACGACACUUUAAUUCGAGGCAUGGCUUUAGUUUUGUUGGGCACUGUAGUAGGGUUUUGAUCAGAAUCUCAGACACUCAACAGGUACAAAUCAUUACUGCGAAUCCUGUUGGAGGACAAAGACACUGCCAGAAAGUUUUAUAAAACAAAGAAACAGUAAUUAAUAUAAGAACUUGAAUAUAUAUUUUUCUUUGUUGAUUCGAAUGCCGCCAUCUCUGUGAGCAUCCCAGCCAGCUGAGAGAAAAGAAUUCCAUUAGGGUUGCAUGUGAUAUUUUUCCUGUGUGUGUGUAUCAGACAAAGCAUGAGAGAAUUGAUGCCUCUCAAGUAUCAAACAUGAAAAGAAGAGAGAGCUGGAAGGAGUAGGAUUAUAAUAUAGCAAGAGGGAUAGGGCUUGGAAGUGAUGUUGAUUCGAUGGAAUCGAUGGUUUCUAUUAACCGGUAGUUGUUAGGGAUCAAUCGGUGGUUUCAAGAAGUCACCUUACCUCGUAAAGUAAAACCAGCUAGUUAGUAACCGUUUGCGCUGGCUAGCUAGCUAUAUCAGGGUUUAGGGUUUAGGUUCACGGUUCAGGGUUCAGGCAACCAGUUUGACUCAGUAGCACGAAAGCGGAUUUCCCACGAAAGCUAGCUAGAUGAUCGAUCUAUGUAAAGCCAGCAAGUUUUGCAGUGAUGGAAAUCCAAAGGGAAGAAAGAAUUUUUUAGGUGGUAGAUUUCUAUACCAGUCGGUUUGACGACUCGUGGAGAUGAUGGCAUGGCAACCACUUGUGCUCCAACCAGAAUGAAUACAACCCACUUAACUUGGGGUUGAUGCCUUCUAGGGUUGAUCCAUUCAAGAAUCUGUUGGGAUUUCUUCAAGAAAUUACCAAGUUCUAGUUAACUUUAAGUUGACCACUUUCUAGUUUUUACAAAGAGGAAUUAUUACCUUUUGAGUUAACUAACUAAAAAGGGGACACACUAAAUUGUAAAUUGAAAUAUGAUUGCGCGCACUAGGUAGGAAAGUCUCUCCAAACUCCGAACGAAAAUAAAAAAUAAAAAACAAACAAAUAAAAAACUCACACACAAACACAUAUAACAAAGAUAUGUGUGAAAGUUCUUCAGUGCACCCUGGUUCAAGUGAACCAGUAGUGACUGAUCAAUCAUAACAAUUUAUUUAAUCCAGUUAAUUACAUGACACUAAUAUCGAUGUUAAGGCAGUUAAAAAGAAUAGAGACAAAAAACACAAUUAACUGAGUAAAAACACUAAGGCCUCGUUUGGUUCACGGAAAGGAAAUUAGUUCAUUUGUCUUUCCCACGAGAAGGGAAAGAGAAGGAAAAUUAAAUUUUCCGAUGACUUUCCAUUCCGAUGUUUGGUAACACAAGAAAAAUCAUCCGGAAAAAUUGUUUAUUAAUGUGAGUAAUAAAUGCAAGGAAAUAAGAUAAGAAAGUGGUUCCUAUGAAUUUUGGAAGGAACAACUUUUCCUCACAUUUUCCCAACCUUCAGGAAAAUAUUUCAUUUUCUUCAGCAUUCCUGAACGGACUUGCUCGGUCACAACCAAGUUAUGUUAACACAUGUGGGACCCAUAUAAGUGGUUCAAGUGCACCACGGUGCACUGAAUUCGUUUCGGAGGUUUGUGUAUCAAUCCCAUGUAUAUAUCAAACGGUUUAUCAAAUUGAAACCCUGCUACACCUGGUAAUUUUUAUUAUUCUUACUAAAAAAAAAAAUUUAUCAAAUUGGUCAGUAUACCCGGUAAAAUUUAUAAGUUAUUUUAGAGCACUCAUUUAUUGCUUUCUCUUGCAUCUGAUUGAAAAGUAGCCAAAUGUACCUUGGCGAUUGAGCACUCAUUUAUCUUAGUAAUUGUGGUGAGACUAGGUUUUAGUCGACAAAGUAGUGUUCACAUGGUCAGUCGUUGAUCAAGAGAUUCAUGGUCUGCCACCAUUAGAUUUACAUUUAAAGGUUGAAAACAAAAUAACUUUACUUAAAAAUAAUUAUCAUCACCCUUAGAUUUAAAUCUAAUGGUGACUAACCAUAAAUCUCUUAGUCGGUCACUUACUAGGUAAACAUGACUUUUAGUCGACAAGUGUUUUAGAUUGAACAAGUAAGCUCUGAUAUAGUGAGUUUUAUUUAUUUAAAUACUAGCCAACUGAUUUAAUGCAAAAUUAUACAUUGUAUAACUAAGAAGGACGUAUGAAAUCGAUUCACGGACAUGAGUUGACUCUGUUUUUGUGAUUACAAAACAGCCAUGGAGGUCUCAAGCUUAUAGCCUUCAAGCCUAAAAGUGAAAUAGAACAACAGCAGAUACGGUGAUGUGACCUCAACUAAGUUCAAAUGCCCCCACACUAUACAUGAACAUGAACAAGAGCUCCAACGAUAAGGAUUUCGAAUAUUUCCAAGCCAACCAGAGGCCAAACCCACCAUCAACUUCUGGCCCUCCCCUCUCUUUCUCCCUCCUUCCCUCCCUCUACCCUACACUGGAGCCUGGAGGAUCCCCACCCUACAGUCCCUCAGUCGCUCUCUCUUGUAUAUCUUUCUGACGAUCUGCAAGUGCAGCUCAGCAAAGGGGGACUGGGAGAUGGGGAAUCUAUUCAGAGCUCUCUCUCUCUCUCUCUAUCUCUCUGUGCAUUACCACGUUCUUGAAACUUUCUUUUCAUUCUUGAAUUUGCAGUUCUGUAAAUUUUCUUAUUGGGGCUUGCUAUUCCCACAACUUUCGACUCUAGGUUUUUUCUUUUCACCAAAAAGUGAGUCCUGGAUUUGUCGGUUUAGGGCAACUGUAAAAAUAUUCAUAGCUUCCCAUGAUCCCAUCGAAUCAAUGUCCUGGGACUAUUACCAAUACAUGAUAUACAUCCCAUCAUUUCUGUGUUGAAUGGGGCAUGAGUAAAAGAAAGAACUACAUCGCAACUACUUCCGAGCAUUUGAUAGAAGUCACAGUUUACUAAGAGGGAUGGGGAAGAACCGCAGGACUCGUUAUUACUGGAUGAUACUAUUGUCAAGGUCUAUUGUCAAUGAGAAUCAACCAUUCGGACAAGAACUUCUGUUAUCAUAUAGGAGUGUUUCUGUAGAUCUAAAGGGUGCUAGAGAAUAUUUUCAUUUCCUUUCCAUUCUGCAAUGAUGGAAACUCUUUGGGAGUCUUAUUUCAAGUUAGCCAGUUAGGUAUCUGUCACUAAAUAAAGAUAUGUUUGACACAUUUACUUAGUUCAAACAUUGACGAUAAUAUAACAAAUGAAUCUCUAAUCCAUACACAAUAUGAGCUUUACAUGACAUAAGACAAAACACAAUCCGACGUUUUUUAAAUUCUAUUUACAAACUAGCUCUUUUACAUUGUAGACGAACAUCUCAUGUAACACAAUUUUUUAUUCAAUGGUUUGAUAUAUAUAUAUAUAUAUAUAUAUAUAUAUAUAUAUAUAUGUAUAUAUAGAGGGUAGCGGCUGCCUCGUAAGUCUCUCUGAUGAUCACCUUCAAACAAAAAAGCGAUCACCACUACAGGCAACCCCAAUUCCCAAAUGAGAACCUGAAGUUUAUAUAUAUGUAUGAUCGAUUCUGCGAGAGAAUAACCAACGAACUCUUGCAACAAAUAUGCAUUCUGAUUCUUAGCUCUAUACCACUCUUUACCAAAUGACUCUCUCUGCCUAACUAAAUUGAGCUCGAAGUCGACUAUCCUUGAAGCUAGCCUUCUCCAUCUCAUAGGCCGGCACGGGCGAGCUAGAAGUCAAAUUUCAAGAACUGUAUGUGGUGGGAUAUCACAAAUCAACUGGUAUAAGAGUAAUCUUCCAAUUCAGAAAGAAUUUGGAGUCUCAAACAUGAUACAUGACACGGUGAAAGCGAUUCAACUGCAAAAAGAGACUUGCCCCGAUCAAAUCGACAUUGAUGGAUCGUCGAAGUUAGGUCGACUUUAGUAUUGAUCGUUUUGUUAUAUAUGGCCGGCCUAGCCUACAUAGCUUUCAAGCUACUGCACAAUAGCUCGGCAACCUUUGUCAUCAUUAUACCAAGUCAAAUGAUGGUGGGGAAUCGUAAAUCUACUCAUAAGGUCGAUCAUCCAAUCUUAAGAAACAAUUAUUGGAGUUUUACAAUGAUUUCAGAUAUCAAGGAUUGGAAGAGGACGAGAACAGGCAUUGCAAUAUAUUUCAUCGGCCCGGAAAAUAGGGGUUCCGAUCGUUCCGUCGAAGAAUUAUGGCCGGGUAAUGUUUUGGCCUUAAUCGACAACUCAUGAAGUCAUGAUCCUAUCAAUGUAAUACUAUUUUGAGUUUCUUUGGCAUGGAUCGGGUGUUUGUCUUCCGAAAAAGAAAUGAAAACAAGUUUUCAAACACUACGAAAUUUAGGGCUCAUGAGCAUUUUCUAUUUAUAUGAGCGGUGGGAGAUCAACCUACUAGAUUGAGUGUACGUGUGUUCUAACUUGUAAGAUUAGGGUGUUCAACUUCUUUUUCGAAUCCGACAUCUAUCUCCAAAGAACAUUACAAAAGAUUUAGAUGCAUGAUAUUCACAAAUCAAUAGGGCAGGGUGGGAACGGUGAUGACUGAUGACACUCACUUGACUCACUUCUAUCCCGGACUCUCCUCGUUUCUUAGUUUACAACACCCAUCUGAGGUCUCAAAGAUCAUCAUACCAUUAGUAAAGGAAUUAAGACUGGAACUAUAUGUAUAGUAAUCUUAACUCAAACAGUAUAACCUACAAGUUACAACGUACUUGAAGGUUUCAUGGACGGAUGGACAUACUCACAUAUCGAUGAUGUUUGAAUAUGUACAAUCACGGCCACUAUUUGCCGUCAAUCCGUCGUAGAGAUCUCCGACGCGGUUCUUAAUAUGACGGCGACAGGCCAGACGUCAAGUGCAAACGACUAGCUUAUUGACGUCGCAACUCUUUACAUCACCCGGGACUGCGUUCGUGACUAUUAAUUAGACUUAGUUUUCUCAUUUCCAUAAUCUUUUUUUAUGAAAAAGAGAAACAAAAUCCUUUACAUAUUUAACAUUAUACUAUUUUCUGUCGUACUGUUUUACUGUUUAAAGUACUGUUAAGGCAACUGUUCAAAUAGAACAAUUUUGGGCUUGGGUCUGUAUCUUUGGGCCUCGGUCUUUUGGUCUAUAUCUUUGGGCUUCGGUCUGUAUAUCUCUCUCGAUCUCUCUCGAUCUUUCUCGCCGCUUUGCAUAUCUUUUUUGUCUUGGUUUGUCAAGACUUGAUAUCUCUCUCUCUCUCUCUCUCUCAUCACUCCGGCUCUCUCUCUGUUGAAUUCCUCUGCUUCAAGAAUCUCUCUCCUGCAUAUCACGUCAACACCUGAUCUCUCUCUCUCUCUAUCGAAUCAUUCCGGUUCUCUCUCUCUCUCGAAUCUCAACAAAGUUUCUUGAUCCAAAUCCGGCCAAAAUCUCAAAGUCGUCUUCAUUGCUCCGUUAUAGGUCUUAAAUUUACAACCCAAGCAAGACAUCGAGUACUUUUGAGGUAAUUUUUCUUUCUUUGAUAUUCGUCAAUCGUCGUCUUAUUUUUUUGGUAUGAUCCUUCUAUCUCGUUAUAGACGCAUUUUCCUUACGAAAAACCAAGACAAAGAACAGAAUAAUUCCUUCCUAAAUCGUUUUGGAGCAUCCCUUAACAAGCCUAGUGACAAGCUCCCACUCUAUAUAUAUUAAACCAGAAAGCCCUCUCAAUCAAAUCAGAUGGGGAAGGAAGUUCGUUACAAAUUAGAAUGCCGUAGGAGAACUCUACGAGGUCCCAUUCCGAUCUUGACCCAACUAAAGGGGGGAGACAAAGAACAUUCAUUUAAUCAAAAGCUCAUCUUUCACAUAAAGUUGUGACAAAAUUAUAUAUUAGACGUAAUUGCAUGUAACGUGUUUAACUACUUCGACCUUUUCAAGCCUAAUCAUGGAUCAUAUCUCCCAUGUGGUCCACCGACCCCAUUUCUAUUAAUUCCCACUUUAUUAUUAUUAACCCCCCAAAAAAACAAAAACCAUCCCUGACACCCAAGAAAAUAAAAAAAUUAAACUUUUUUAGAAUUAUAUAAAAAAUAAAUUAAAUUAAAAAUUACUCCACACAGAGCUGGCUCUGGCUCUCUGCCGCUGGCGCCUCUGUUUGAAUCUUGGCAGCAUUUCCAAAAACCCUCAGUUUUUUAAAAAUAAAACUAAAAAUAAUAACACAUGGAUAAGCUCAAACAAUUUGAUGCUAUUUCAUUACCCGUACACGCGCAGGUCAAGCGCGUGCCCCACAUUCGUCACGGUCACAGACUCACAUAGAAUGGCCAUGGCCCAUGGAUGACGAAGAAGAAGAUGAGGACAAAUAUAACUACAUUAUCAGAAACUGGCCGCAUAUUUACAUUACACCAAAAAAAAAAANAANNNNNNNNNNNNNNNNNNNNNNNNNNNNNNNNNNNNNNNNNNNNNNNNNNNNNNNNNNNNNNNNNNNNNNNNNNNNNNNNNNNNNNNNNNNNNNNNNNNNNNNNNNNNNNNNNNNNNNNNNNNNNNNNNNNNNNNNNNNNNNNNNNNNNNNNNNNNNNNNNNNNNNNNNNNNNNNNNNNNNNNNNNNNNNNNNNNNNNNNNNNNNNNNNNNNNNNNNNNNNNNNNNNNNNNNNNNNNNNNNNNNNNNNNNNNNNNNNNNNNNNNNNNNNNNNNNNNNNNAAAUUUCAGUUACGGUCUGCCCGGUUCCUGUUGUUAUGGCUCUGACUCUGCUGCACGUAAUGGCUGUGCUGCUGAACUCCCUUCCCGAAAACGGCGCCGUUUGAGUCGCGUUUUUGCGGGGAGGAAAAUAGCUGCCCGAACCCGAACCCGGUUUUCGAGGAGCCCCGGAGGGAGCAGACCGGGACGUUUAAGACCGGCGUCACUCUGACGUUGGCUGAGUACGACCGCUCCAUGCCUCUGUGCUUCAGCCGGGGCCCACCGUUGAAGCUGCUUGGACUGCUCGAGCUCCGCUCUAGGCUCUGGAACACUAUCUUCCCCGACGAGUUCAUUCUCGGGCUGUCCACCGAUACGCCUCGGCUGGUCGCGACGGCGGUGGCGCUGGUUUCCGCCGCCGCCGGCCUCCGCAUCGGGCUCCGUCCUACCCUGGCGGCCUGAUCCGCCGCCGCUCUCUGCUUGAUUUCCCGGAUCUUGACGGCGGUUUUGGCCCGGGUUGGUUUACGGUGGAGCGAGAACAUCUGGUUCGGGUGCGGGUUCGGUUUGUCCGAAUCGAGGGAGAGGCGGGGCAGGUCGUCGUGCUCGUGGCCGGAGGACGAGGACGAGAGCGAGAGGCGGGAGGAGAUGGAGACGGACUCGCAGUCGGAGUCUCUAAGCAGCGGCAAGCUCAGCGAGGCGUCAAUCGAAGACGACAGUGACUUGGAGCUUCGGUGAAGGAAGUGCUUCAGUGACUUGGGCGCUGCGGAAGACGACGUCGUUUUCUGACUAACCUCGGCCUUCGCGCCGUUACCGUUUCCGUUACCGUUACUGGAGUUCAGGUAGAGCUUCUUCAAUCCAAGUAGCUCUCUCCAACGGCUGGAGCACCUCGGAGCUUUAGGAGAGAACAAGUAGGGGUCCGAGAGAGAAGCGCUCAUCGCCUCCGGUCUCCGGCGGAACUGCACCGUCUCCGGUAACCUGAUCUCGGAGGAGUUAGAAGGCUCGUUGACGGGAGGUUUGACGGAGGAGAUGUGGAGCGGCAUGAGCUUCCCGCCGGAGAAGAGCUCGUCGGCGGGGAGCAUGGCGACCGGAUCUUCAAGCCGGAACUCGAACUCUCCUCCGGAAAGCUCCGGAUCUGAACUUUCCGGUUGAUUCUUCCCCGGAGACGAAGGCUUAUUAGUUCCGGGGACCCGGCCAUUGUCGCCGUUGUUGUUGUCGCAGCUGAAGGAGACUCUAGGGCUGAGCCAGCCGUAGGAGGGGUAGGUCGUCGCCGGCGAGAAUUUCUCCGGCGACAUGCCGAUGUUGUUGACGCAAGCGGAGGCCAUCGGAGGGAGACAAUGUGGAUUUGCGUAACGGCCGGAAUCACAUUGCCGGGAAAAGCGGUGUGGGGGAGAUCUGAGAGGGAGGUGGGUGAGUUGGCGCCUUAGGGUUUGGGGGAGUUAUGGUGUCACUGAAUACGGAACAUGAGAGUGGGCAUAUAUAUAGCACAAGUGUUAGUGGGUUUGUUUUAUUGAGGGCUAUUAGGGCCACGUCGCCCUCCCCAUCCCUGUCAUUUGAGCUUUAAUAUUUUUUCGUGUGUUUAGAUUUUUCGUUGCUCUUUAUUGGCAAAUCCAUAUACAAUAUCUGCAUCUUUAUUAGGUUUUAUUACCAACGUUAAAAAGGUUUCUAUAUUUUUUCGUACAUCUAUUAAUUUCUUUCUUCUACUGUAUAUUAGAGGAAAUGCUUGGAUCGAUCCUGAUGAUUUAUUUAAAUUACUUAGCGUAUGUAUUUAUCCCAUAUGGAUGUGGUAAUGAUUUAGGUCCCGUCCUAAAUCAAAUGGUUCUUAUAGUAUUUUCCAUCAAAUUUUCAAUAAAAAGACAUGUUUCUAUAAUCCUCCGUAAAAAUAACUCUGAUUCUCUCAGAGCAUAAUAAAAGUUUGAAAUCUAGGGUUUCAACAGGCGGCAACGCUCUCCUGAGGACGCCUCUCGUGGUCUCGCGACGGCACGGCUGUGUGUCAUUUGUGAAUGGUUGAAGGUUGUCUCGUUUGAUUUGGUAGCCGAUCGUGCUAUGGUUUCUGGGUUAUGAGCCUCCGGCUGUGGAGGAUCGUUGUCAACAUCGAUAAGGACUGUGCAAGGGCGCUGGCGUCGUUGACUGGAGGGAGGUGGAUUUCUAGGCUUCGACGGCGAGCAAGAUAGGAGGUAUGGCAUUGGCCUUACCGGAGGAUGGUGAUGACCGUGAUGGUGCACAAUGGCCUUGGACUGGGUUGUUCGUUUCCAUGCUUGGAAAGGCUGUUACCCCCUAGGCUUGUUAACGGCAGGCCCUGGGUGAUCAGUUAAGGCUACAGAAAGUGGAUGGACAGAAUAGGCCUAUGGAUGUUUGGAUUCGAGUUUGGGCCUUCGGGUUUGGACCUAGCCUCAAGUUCAGGAAGAGGGCUUGGGUUUGUGGGCCAAAACAACAUGGGUUGGCAGAAAUGGAGGGUGGUGAGUUCAUGGCCUUUGGUUUAGGCACAGAGGAACAAGAUGCCUCUCCGGAGGCAGAGGGGAAGUAGUUGCCUUGAGGAAUGAACAAAGAUCCCUACACUAAUUGGUUGAAGUGUCCCCCUAGUCAUUGAUGGACAGGUACACCGUUUGGUCUCUAGGCCUCAUGUUGAUGUUUAGGUUCUCUGAUUCAGUUUGUGUAGGUUAAUAGAUUUCUAGUGUAAUCAUCCACCUUUUUGGACAACUUUUGUGGUUUUUUUCCCUUUAGUUUUAGUGUAGGAGAAUAAAGAGUCUACUAUUAAUCUUGUAUGGGAGUUCACUCCUGCCUGAUUUAGCAAUAGUUGGUUGUAUGACUUAAUGCCAAUGAAAUUAUUCAUUUACCUAAAAAAUAAAAAUAAAAAAUACAUGUUUUUAUUGACAAAGAACGCGAUCCUAAAUUCUAAACCCUAAACUGCCGCCCCACCAUCUACAUCGUCAACUCCGUCCUCGCAGCCCAGGAGUCGAAUUUUUGAGUCUUAAUUCAUUUUUCUCAAGUUUAUGAUGCGCAAUUCUUGCAUCUUAGCUUCUUAGGUAGAACUCAUCAGGUGUGACAUAACUACCAACAUUGAGAACAAAGUCAUUACUAAUUUACUACAAUCUUUUGAAUGUCUCAAUCAUACGUCAAUGUAUAGUUUUAGUCCUUCAAAUUCACCUCCAAGCUCUUAACAUAAUCGAAAAACAACACUAGCAAAGAAGCAUUGUAACAUCUACUAAUAGUCUAAUCCCCGAUCAUUUUAUGGCAUUUGAAACCAUUCCUGAUACCGACAUAUUCGUUGCUAGAGUUUCUCGAGUCAUAUAAAUCGUAUUAGUAAACCCAUGUUUAAAAGAAAAGAAAAAAAAUUAAACAUUUCGUAUGGACUAUAGAGUUCGGAUCCAGUCGUUGGGUAUCGGGUCUCCGGACUAUACGGCCCAUGUAUAUGGAAAAGAAACUUGUUCAUACAAUCACGGCGGGCCUUUGCGGUUAGAAUUUUCGUCAUUCAUAUUCGGACACUCAAUUCCUAGUGGUACACACUCUCAGCCGUCCGCAAUGUCAAGCAACUACUCAUGCGAGACCGCGAGCGAGACCCUGGAAUGGAUCAACGCCAUCAUCGACUUCAUGAAGCCCUUCUCUUUCUUGACCAACGCUCACGUCGUCAAUUUCUUCAACGAUCGACUCUGGGAGGCCAUUGAUCACGAUUGGAUGGACUGCUUACGGCAGGAACCAGUCGAAAAUCUCCUCCAAAUUCCAUCUGGAGUGGUCCAGGUACUCUUUUGGUUACUUACUUGUGCUUAAAUUGAAAUGAAGGAAAUUAAUUUUGAGCUGAAUUGAUGUUGAAUUUGUGGUUAGGAUCACUGGCCGGCUUCGCUCAAGGAGUUUGUUGUUACGUUGAGGUCUCUCGCGCUUCCUCGACAGCAGGCCGACUUGCAGGCGGUAUGCUCUUGAAUUUGGCUUCACAUUUGGUUUCGAAUUUUCGAUAUAAAAGGAAACAGUUAAAGCUAAAAAAAUCAUGAUAAUCAGGAUGAAAUGUUUUUUUCGCAGUAAUGCGGUAUGGUUGGAGUGUUAAGAUAUUGGAGUAGAGAAACUGGAUCAGUGGGAAAGAUGUAUUUCGGGAGAGUGAAAUUUUUUAAUGUUUCGUUAUGGUGUGUUCAUUUUGGUAAUGACAGGUAUUACCUGGAAUUAGCAUGACUUCCCUCAAUAGUGUUCUUUCGACGGGCAUGAAUUCGAAGAAGAAACAUGAAGUGAGUCUCGGCAUUUGCUUUGAACCUUGACAUUUCUUUUACCGCUCUUACAAUGCUCCUUAUGUGUUAUAUGAGCAUUUGAUUACUGACUGGAGUUUGUGAUUUGAAUCCAUUUUUUGUGUCUGAUCAUGAUUUUGUGCAGGUAGAAAUUCUUUCGGCUGUUGUCAGUUCAGUUGCAAACAACAUCGGUGCUCACGCAAUAAUAGAUGUUGGUGCUGGUCAGGUAGUCCAGCUAUGUUACACAUUUGCAUUUUUUGUGUAUAUAUAUAAUGCUUCCGUAUCUGCUUUGUUUUCAUUUCAUUUAUUUUGAUUUGCAUUCAUUCUGUUCCCCCAUGAUCAUAUGGCUAAACUUGAGUUGGUCAACUUCAUCCUAUCAGUAGGUUCACAUCUCUCUACUUCCUUUGGCUGAAAGAAAGAUGUUUCUUUUCUCCAAGAUACAUUAGACAUUUGAAUUAAUCAGAAACUAAUGGUAGGAAGUGCUUCUGCUCCCUGAUUGAAUAUGAUGGGUGUAGUACUUGGUCGGAACUAAUUUACCACUUUUUGAAUAUAUUAUUUUUCAGGGGUAUCUUGCACAAGUACUUUCCUUCCACUACCAACAUUCGGUAAUUGCAAUUGAUGCCUGCUCUCACCAUGGAAGGGUUACCAAUGCACGUGCAGAGCAGAUCAAGAAACAUUAUGCUGCUCAGAUGCGUAAAUCCGUGUAUGGGACAAAUUUUUUCUCUGUUUUUGUUAGACUUUAAUCAUCUCUUCAUAGAGGAAAGUCUAUGUUUUUGGGUUGACCAAAUGACUUUGUUGCAUGCUGAGGGGUUGAACAAUUAUUUGUUAGCUUUAGAAAGUUAUACCGUGGGAUAACCCGAUAAGCAGGUUGCAAACUUAAUCAUGUUUAUAUCUAUUCAAGUUUUUGCUAGUUUGUCCAAGGGGAGAGGAGAAAACACUUGACCUUGGUCAACCUGUCUAUCCAUCUCAAACCUCAAAGUGCAUAUGUAUCUGAUGGGUUCCCAUUCCUCACAAUUUGUCCUUUUCACUAAAUAGUUACAGUUUGAUAGUAUGUCCCUAAAUCAGACGUAUCAGUCACUUGUUCUUGCUUUAUUUCAGACUAUCACAUAUUGUAUCACUUUCUGCAAGCCUUAUACCAUACUUUUUCUUUGGGGGUUAGAGCAGGAAACAGGAAUUUGGAUGUGCCUAAGACAAUCACAUGCAAUGUGAUGUCUAUUGACAUGUUGAAAGCUUUGGCUGAUAUAUCACUGCAUAAAGAUAAUGCCUCUCUACUACAAGCUUCCUGCCAUGCGGAUGGUGAAACUUCAUUAGUUCUUGCUGGGCUUCAUGCUUGUGGAGAUCUUUCGGUGACAAUGCUCAAGUGAGUUCUCAAGUGGUGUUUGAAUCUUAUGUUUCUUUUUUGAACUAAGUUUCACAUAAGGCCUCUAUUCUUGUUCUUUCACAUUAGUUGAUUCCUUAACUCCUUUGGUAGUAUAACAUCCCUUAAACUUUAUAGCCAUUCUAUAAAUGCUAGCAACAAAAAGAACAAAAUAGAAGAAAAAAAAUCAAAAAUCAAAUAAAAUGACACUAUGUGAGAAGUACGCUCGUAAUCGCUACCAUCCUCUUGAAGUAACUGAUCAAGAUUUUCCAUAAUGAUCACCAUUUAGUAAUUGCUGACGGUCAGUCAUCACUUGUCCUAAGCUUUAAGCACUAAUUUUGCUUUUUCGUUGACUUGAUUUUGGUUCUGCAUAACCCAUAAAACUUGAUCAUCAGUUUGUCAAAGUGGCUACAACUGUCAACAAAGGGCUGCAUUUGUAUUAUGUCAUGUAUUUGAUGGUGUCAUUUAUGUUACAUCUCCUGUUAGUGUGCAUAGGGUUAACUGUACUUAUUUCUUUUGAAACAGGACCUUUACGGAGUGUGAAGAGGUUAAAGCAGUUGUUAGCGUUGGCUGCUGUUACAACUUAUUGUCUGAAGAGGGUUUCAAUCAUGUGGGGUCUCAGUGUGGUUUUCCCAUGAGUCGUGGUGUUAAAUCUGCUGACUUGUCACUUGGAAAAAGUUCACGUGACCUUGCUUGUCAGGUAAGGGAGAUUCUUAUUCGUAUUGUUCAUGGAAGAACCUGGAAAUUCAGAAACAAUGAGGUUUCAUUUCACCUAAGCAAAGAAUAACAGCCCUUGGGUGUUGGGCAUACCGCUGGGGUGUGGUGAGGACUUUGUAUUAGUCUAAACAAAUAAGAAAAAUGAACAUAAAAUAAGAUCAAACUAUUUUAAAGGUUUUGUUGAUGGGGGAAACAAUAUAAUCGCUAACGCUGUCAUAUUACAUUAGCUCUCCUAGUUGUAAGGAAAAGCUGCAAAUUCAUCCAAGAACUUUUGCAAAUAAGAAAAAUGAACAUAAAAUAAGAUCAAACUAUUUUAAAGGUUUUGUUGAAUCCAUAACUUCACACAUUUGCUUUUUCUUGUUAGAGUGCAGAGAGAUGGGGUUGUUUGGAAAAUGAUGCUGGUCUCCACAAUUUUGAGUUGCAUACUUUCCGUGCUGCUUUUCAGAUGGUAUGCAAUAUUUAGACCUUGCUGUUAGCCAGCAAUUGAAGUAUUAAAUAUGUUUUACAUUUACUUAAAAAAUGCGCUGCUUGUCUCUGUUUACAAAACUCUAUAUAUUUUGUUGGUGUUGGUAUGCAAUAAUUUUACCUUUGCAGUUAGCUGGCAGAUAAAGCUCUGAAUAUGUUGCAUGAUCUACUUAAGUUUAUACUGUAUAAUUUUAUCCCUGUAUAAACCUUUGCAGUUAGCUGGCUGAUAAAGCUCUGAAUAUGUUGCAUGAUCUACUUAAGUUUAUACCGUAUAAUUUUUUCCCUGUAUAAACUUCCACCCAUGUUUGGUGGCUUUGCCAUCUGUCUCUCUUUUGUUGACAUUUCUCUUUUACCAUCAAAGAUGAGAGUGCAGCAAUUUCAUUUGGAUUUAGUCUCUUUUUUCCGGUUACUGUCAUUUACAUAUUUUUAGACUGUGCAGCAGUGUAUAUAAGCUGGAUGCUAUAGUAUGAUACUUACCACCUGAAUGUAUGCUAGUCAGGGACUGUUUACGUAAGAAUGAUGUCAAACUAAAUUUUUUAACACGGUUUCCUUUUCUUCUUUUUUUUUUUUUUGGUGCAUUGAGUUGCAGAAAUUGUAAUUGGAUCUAACAAAAUUGUCGGUCUUUCCAAGAGCAUGAAACUCUGAUGUAACGUCUCUACAUACUUGAGUUGUUAGCAGUUGUUGAGUUCAUGAUUUUUUCACUCACAAAACCUUUUAACUCUAUGUUAGAGAGAGAUAUGUAGGAGAUUUCUAAUUGUGUUACGAGUUUGAUUUUGUUUUCAUAUAUUAUAGAAAGGACUUGCAUAGUUGCAUUCCUUUGGCACUUCAAAUUAAUUGGAAGUGUAUGAAAAAAAAAAUUAUGGACUUCACAAUCAGUUCCAAUGCCCCUCACGAAUUUCAGCUGUUGAUUCUUGUUCUUUUCAAUAUCAUGUUCAUCUCUACAUGAUUAUUUUGUCUGUUUCUGAAUGGUAUACAAUCUUCUUAAUUUGAGGUUAUACAUAAAAGGCCUAUCAGCUGUACAUAACAUACUGCUUGUUCUGAAGGUUUUGAGUCGAUAUUAUCCUGAAGUUGUGAUAACUAGUCCAUCCAUUGGGCGUCAAGGGAAGGCUUUGCGUCGCCAGCAAAGUAGGGGCACGAUAGACUCCUCUAUGAAUCAGAAGGAAGGGACUUGUUCAUCCUUGCCUCAGUUACCUUGUGAUAUGAAAGGAAGUGGUUCUCACCUAAAAACCACAAAAAUUGAAACAGGUAACAAAUUGAUGAAUUGUAAUACAAAACUUGAAACUAGUUAUAGCUUUCCAUAUUGUGUAGCUGCUGCAUCACUUUGGAACUGAUUACAGUGCAGUAUAUAACUAGAAAUAAACAUAUCAUACAGAUGACAGUUUUGAGAUGGAGUUAGAGACAACAACCAAAGGCAGUGGGCAUUCAUCUAGUAAGGCCACCAAAUACAUGGGGACUCCACUCAUUAGCAAAUAUACACUUUUUGAGAAAUACUGUCUAUCCGGAUUAUGUCGCCUGGGUCUUGAGCCUCUGAAGGAGACAGAUCUCCAUGGAAUAUGGAAGGAAGUUCAGCCUUUUGCUGUAUGUUACCUUCGUACCAUAUAUUUAGAAGUGCACUGAUGCUUAUGCUUAUUCUAGUGCACCGAUAAUCUGCUUGUGCUUAUGCUAGUGCACUAGGUGAUAUGCUUAUUGAAUGAUGAUUUUUCAUAAGCUCCAUGGAUAAAAUGUUUUGAAUAUUUGCAUCACAAAUGCAUAUCACCUAAAUUGCUCCCCUUGUCUUCACUGUUUUUAUUUAAUGGGUAAAAUAUUGUAUAGUCCUUGUGGUUUAAAGUCGACAUCUGUUUAGUCCUUAUGGUUUUAUUUUAAUCUGAAUAGUCCUUAAAGUCACGAUUUUUCAUCCAAAUAGUCCUUAUGGUUUUAUUUUAAUCUUAAUAGUCCUUAAAGUCAUGAUUUUUCAUCCAAAUAGUCUUUAUGACCUUUAACUGAGAAAAUUGUCGGAAUGACUAUUUGGAUGAAAAUCAUGACUUUAACGACUAUUCAGAUUAAAAUAAAACUAUAAGGAUUAUUUAGAUGAAAAAUUGUGAUUUUAAGGACUAUUCAGAUUAAAAUAAAACCAGAAGGACUAAACAUAUGUCGACUUCAAACCACAAAGACUAAACAAAUUUGAAUCUUAAAAUUUAUAUAGUAGAUAAGGUAAGAAGUAGAAAGAAAAUAUAUUACUAAAAGUAAAACUAGGUUGAGAAGGUUCUCUGGUUGCAUUUCUGAAAAAGCUCUUGAUGACAUGAGCUCUCUUAGCUUCUAGUGGAAUCGGCAUAGCAUGCCGCGCUGCAUAUUAGAAUUUUUCUAGGUGUUAGUUUCAGAAUCUAAGAUAGCAUUNNNNNNNNNNNNNNNNNNNNGACUAUUUAGAUAGAAAAAUCAUGACUUUAAGGACUAUUCAGAUUAAAAUAAACCAUAAGGACUAUUUGGAUAGAAAAAUUGUGACUUUAAGGACUAUUCAGAUUAAAAUAAAACCACAAGGACUAAACAGAUGUCGACUUCAAACCACAAGGACUAAACAAAUUUAAAUUCUUAUUUAAUCCAUGCGACAUUUUGUCUGUUUACCGUAAAUUGGAAAUUACAAAUUUUAGAUCCCCUAUUACAGUGUUUUGAUUAAAUGUCUAGAAAAUUAUCGGAAUCAAUUUUUUGUAUUGACGUGUUGGAUUCACUGUAGGAUGCUCUUCCUUUUAGUUUCCUUUGUUAAUGAAAGUUAUAUGUAUGAAUUGAAGUCAUUCUUACUUAGUUGCGUAUGGAAGGACUCCAUAGAAUUGCAAAUCAUUUGUCAUGGUGUAUGACACAACAUGACCUUUGCAUAAUACUUCGAUUAUAUGAAAAUGAUAUGGUUUAUGCUUUACUUGAAUUCUAGGUACCAGUACCACAAAUGAUAUUCCUUCUCUAGAAAAGAAAACAGCAGUAACUAAAUACUAAGCAAAAAGUGUGGUUGUUUGCUUGUGUGUAAUUUUCUACGUUUGCCGUCAUUCACCUUCCCCUCAUUUGCUGGAUAUCACACAUCUCUUUUCAUGAGAUGCCUGCUCUUUCACUUAAUUUUCUUUUCUUUUGUGACGAAUAGAUGUAACCAUGCUGUCGAAUUAUGUACAGGAACUUGUUGGACCUUAUUGGACUCUUCGAGCUGCUUUUGGGCCUCUCUUGGAAACUCUACUUUUGCUUGAUCGAUUAUUGUUCCUACAAGAGCAAGGCAGUUCAAUUGACGUAGUCAUGUUACCUAUUUUUGAUCCAGCAUUAUCCCCGAGGAAUGUGGCCAUUAUUGCUAAAAAAAGUUGACAAAAAUUUGACGCUGGCAUAAAAUAUGGUAAGUAAUACAGACUUCCCUCUGUCCCACCUUCUCUCAUGCCAUUGCACGGUGCACGUGUGUGUGAGAGAGGGCUUUUGCUGAUAUGUGAUCGUGCAUUGUUAUCCCAAAGUAUCUGAUUGUCUCUACCUAACUUACUAUAGGUCUAACAUACUUGUGAAAUUAUAUAAUAUUUUGGAGGACCUUUUUUCUUAAGAUAUCAUAUUGAUUUCUUAUUUCAGUCUUUUGGAAACUUUUUCAAAACUUUAAUAGUUGUCAUUUGACUUUAGUUUUCAUAAAUCAAUGAUAGACUCAACAAAAAGAUUACGUACUUGACUGUUUGUUUGAUUCAACCCUCAUGUCAGACUUUCUGGAUGAAGAUGUCUCUGAUAUCUGAAUCUAGAUGUAGGUCUUCCUGCAUCAGUGAGCAUUUUGCUAAAUUCAGUAAAAAAUUCUCAAGUUCUCAACGAAAUGUUGAAAGGUUGAUAGUUCAGCUUCAGCUCCAAGUCUCUUAAACCCCAAGAUUGACAGAUAUUGUAAUUUCUCUUAAACCCCAAGAUUGACAGAUAUUGUAAUUUUUGAAAGCUAUUUCUGUAUCUGAUAGAAGAGGAUGUUAGUGCACGAAGGGUAUUUUCGGUUUAUAUUACCAUUUAAAGACUAGCCAACUUGUGUGCAGUUCAUUCUCUUUGGUUUAAAACUUCUCUGGACUCAAAACCGUAUUGCACUGGUUAUUGGGUUGCACUGCAUUGCUGAUCGCCCAUCACCUUGUAGUUGAGUUGACCAUAUUUGUGAAAGCUUAAUCAAGAAAAGUUAAAAAGAGGACAGCUAAUCUAAUCUAAAUUGAAUUAAUUUGUUUGCUGGUGCAUUAGUCUCUAUCUUUCUGUACAUGAGCUCAAAGAAGUUCUUUGAGGAUUGAUGAGUCUGCAUAUCCUUUUCAUACAAAAUGCUAAGUUUUGCUAUAGUUUGGUAUUCAAUUUUCUAAUCACUUCCUUUUGGCAUUGCAGAAACUGUUGUACAACUACAAACUCUUAUCCUGCAAUGCAGAGUUUAGACAAUAUUUUCCGGAGGAUUUGCUAACUGUAUACAUCAACCUACUUUAUAGAGUCUCCUAGGGCAUGCUGGAUUGAGAAAGACAGGUUUGUCUGCAUUCUUUUUUGUCAACUACCCAUUUAGACCCAUUCCCGGAUGAUUACUACUCAUAAAAGAAUCACUGUACAAUGAGAAAUUUCAGAUUGAAUAUCCUUGUGAUACCUUGGAGAUAAUUUAUUCCUAUUCUUGUAUUUGGAAUCAAAGCAUUUGUCAAGAUAUAGACUAAUGUGGUAACCAUCUGCUUAAUCAUUUGUCUUAAGAAACUUCGCUGGCUGCGUUUCAAACACUAAUUAAGAUUUGGAGCUGUGUGGAAGCACAAAAUCUACACGGCUAGUUUGAGUGGAAUAAGCAAAGCUUGAUUGUCUUUUCAGGUGGUGUUGCUGUAGUAAAAAACCACUGGGAGGCUUUUGAGAGGGGACACGUGUUCAUGUUUGACCGGAUUUUGUCGUUUUCUGAUAUAUUAGGACACCUAAUUCACUUCAUGUUUCUUUGGACUGUGGGUGGGUGGUCACAAUUCACAACCCACAAAGAGAACAGCAAUGGGACUUUCUGAUAAGGCUUUGUUUUGGUUUUGGUAUGAGGAAAAACGACAAGGAAAUUGCCGUCGCUGUAGUUUGGUCCAUUUUGCUGGGAUGUACACAAUUGAAUGAUCCAUCUCAUCCUAUGAGGAAAGUUAGUUACUUGUGAUGAACUCAACUUUUUGUGAAUUGAAGUGAAGUUUGAUUUAGACCAGACGCUCUCAUUGUGGACUCAGACGGUGACCUUGUGUUUCCGGGGAUAAACUCAGGUCUCUAACCAUUGACGGUCGUGCUUGAACCGGUGCUGGAACCUCACCUUUGGCUUUCAAACUUAGUCUCACCGGGGUUAGACUCAGGUCCCUAACUGUUUCAUACUUUCACCCUGUAAGUGAUACUGGGAUCCUAAUUCGUGGGUCUGACGUUAACAAACAUAGGAAACAUAAGUGUGAAUCUGAAUCGUACAAACUGUUAACAAUACUUUGGCAAAUUAAACACUGCCUUAAAUAGUGUAAAGCCCUAAUCAAAAUGUUUAGUGGCUUUCCUUUUGUGUAUCAUUUUGUUGCUCCUCGUGAUCAGAUUUUGAUCAGACCAAAUACUCCUUGCUACCUACGCUAGAUUUUUGAAUAAAUAUCAUGUUAUAAAACUCAAACCAAAAAAGACUAUUACACUCUUCCUUAACCUCGCGAUACGUAAAGUUUGUGUUAGUAUCCAUUGUGACACAUAGACUAGACAUACGUUAGAUUGAGAACAGUUCAACUUGUACCAGUGAUUUCACUCCUCCAUUGUCGGGAGUGGAGGAUUAAUUAUAUAAUAGUGCAUACUGUAUUACCUGGUAACAAGAUUAACACAGUUUAACUAGAUAUAACAAGAAAAGAAAAAUGCAUCUCGAACAGCUUGACAUUUACGUACUUCAAAUUUCUACAAUCUAGAGUUUAAUAUUUUUCAGUAUUAAGUUCUAAUGAUAAUCAUACAUAUGUUGGGGUGAUCUAACUAGUAAAUGAAGAAUUAUUUGGUAAUACAUAUAUGUUCAAGCUAAGAUAUACGCUUUAUGUUCCUAUUUUAUUUGAUGAUUUUAAAGCAACUCUUGAAAAUGAGAAUAAGGUCUCAUGAAGACCAAAACAAUAUUCACUGAACUCUUAAUAUACCCGUAAUCGAACGCAUGUUGUCCGCCUGAUCUUUGAUUCAAGCGCUUCUACUUAAUAUUGUAUGUGUUUUGGUCGCCUUUUAGUUGAAGUGAUAUUUUAUUUUUAUUUAACAAAUUUCUUUGGCUGUCAAAAAAAAAAGUUGUAGUAAUAAUCCUAAUAAACUACUCGUCCGUCCAAGAACUCUCGUCAUAUAGACAUAGACCAUGCAUGAUAUUUCAUUUUGGAUUAACAUAUACCAUCAAAGGUAGGGUCUCAAAGGUAUGCUUAAUUACAUUGAGUUUUAGGUCUUGGCGUAGGUCUCUAGCAAUAGUUUCUUUUUUAUUAUUUAUUUAUUUCUUUCUUUUUUUACUUUCUUUUUUUUUAAUUUAAAAAAAAUUUUGAGAUAACUUCCAAAAAAUCAUACGAUCAAAUAUUACUAAAUCAAACGAGAGCAUGCUCCAACACAAGCUUAGAGCAAGCUUAUUAUUCGAAUACAAAUAUAAAACUGAAGGAAAAAGCUAAACAAACAAGUUCAAAAAGGUGGACAACAAACUAGAAAGCAAAUAACAUAUACAAUCUAAUAAAGAACCUAACAAAUUGAAAUGAGUACCCACCACAAACCUUAGGUCUUCAAGUUCAAGGUGGAAAGGAAUCACCACCAAAUUGUUCUUGGCACACUUACCGUCCUCCAUGUCUUCUUCCUCCCUUGGUCACCAAACUCUAACCACUUUAACCGGAGAAUUUAAUUCAGGCACCUCCCUAAUGGUCACAUAUCUCUUCUCUUCAUGGAAGAGAGAAGAGAGAUUGGGCAUGCAUUGAGAGAGAAGCGCGGGUCGGUUGGGUGUUGGCCCUAAAGACCAUUGUAGGCAGCGCCGAAUUCUAGGCAACGACAUGAGCUAGGCACGAGGGCAAGGAAACCUUCCAUGUUUUCAUGCAAAUCCUGCAACGUACCAAUAGCCUCUCGUACCUAUAAUUCACCAACACAUCAAUGGGAGAAACCCUGAUUCUUCUUUCAAGCUUGAUCGAAUCAUGCAGUGGUAGAACCAAACCCUAGCCAAACCACGGUGAAACCCAACAUGGUCGACUUCCAGCACAGUCCAUAUGGUUUCCCCCACUAGUCUUGUCGUCGUCACCGACAGUCUUUAGAUCUCCAUAUAAAUCCAUACAAACUCUAAGGGAACCGCCAUGAUGUCGGAAAAGGCAUCAUAAUCAUUCAAUAAGAUCAUAACACGUUGAAAUCCCAAUAGUCCUUCUUUCUUCACUCGAUUCACAUCCCUUUCAUUAGUGAAAAUGAAUAGAAAUCUAUCUCCCCGUGCCGACAUUUCAACCGGCAUGGAUAGUCUCCACAUUGAACGAACAACAUUGUGAAAAGAAUCGAAACCACAACCCUUGUUGUGUUCAAACGACCUACUACAUAGAAUCUAGAAGCCACAAAAUCUUUGUCACGACACCUGGAGAUCACCAAGGUCCACCGGUUCGUCUUGAUGACCAAGGAAAAGCUUGGUGGCAAGGCUUGCAGUCAUUGCAGCAAUUGAAGCUACAGUGGGAGGAAGCACCAUACAACUUUGUUUUUCUCGAAAGAAACCCUAACCCUAGACAGUUAGAGAGAAGAGGAGAGAGGCUGUGGAGAAAGAAAGUCACGGAAAUAGUUUCAUUCUGUCGUACCCUUUGAUGAGUAAACUAUUAUGUAACAUUGCCUCCGUCUUCUUUUAACAGAUUAACGCUUGGUCGACCAUUUUAUUACCGUGUCAACAAAAUGUGCUCCUUCCUUGAACCACAUCACAUUUCUUGUUCAUCAUCCAUCUCAUCAAUAUUGUCUCCAUUUUCAUCGUUCUUUUUAAUUUAUUUUCAUUUUCAUAUUCCUUCAUUUUUGGUGACAUUUGAAAAGCCUAUUACAUCUGCAUUAAUGUAAUCCAGCUUAUCUACAACCAAGUAUUAAAAUACAUUUUAAACAUAGAUAUUUUAGGAUUUUAGGUUAAAAACAAAAUAGAAAAAAAGAGAAUGCCAUCACAAUGACCCACCUAGUGACUGGCUGAUUCAGGUGCAAGUGCCAAGUGCCAAAUUCCAACUCUUUUCUAAUCCAUAUUUUUGAUUUUAUAUAAAGGGCAUUUAAAAGUUAAUUCCAAGAAGAUGGAAAAGAAGAGAGGACCAAAAUAACCACUACUGAAUUCCCCCAACCCCAACUCCACCACAAUUAUUAAUAUACACAUCAGCAGGUUGGCACUAAUCCGUUUGUCCAUUGCUCCACAUCAUCUUGACAUGUAACAAAUUCUUACUUCAUGUAUGACAUUCACUAAAUGAUCUGCAAAAUUAAAGUAUUCAAAUAGUAGUUUUAGGUUGUUAUAUACUUAUAUAUAUCUUUACUACUAUAAAACGAGCAGUCUCUAAAUCACUAAAUUAUGUUCUGAAAAUAUUACCUUAUUAAUUUAUUUCAGAUUAUAAAAACCAAAGGUACGUAAGAGAUAAUGGAUAAAAAAUGAAAUUACAAGAUUGAUAACUACACUUAUAAAGACAGAUAGAUACAAGUUUAUAACUACUCCUUAAUUUUACAGGUGAUUUUGUGACAACGUGCAAAAUUUACACGAGCAGAAGACUAGUAUGUGUGUGUGUGUGUGUAUAUAUAUAUAUAUAUAUAUAUAUAUAUAUAUAUAUAUANANNNNNNNNNNNNNNNNNNNNGGAACUUGGAAGGGUAUAAUUUUCUGAUAAAAAAAAGUUUCUAAAUCUACCCCUCUACCUGGUUAUGUUUUUUCUCGAUGAGAAGGAUAAAUGUUAUUUCAAACCCACAUUCCUUUGUUACAAUUUUACACGGAAUAACCAGUUGACUUUACCCCCUUUGUUUUCCCUCUUGUUCAUUUGUAUAUAUAGCUCCACCCACUUGCCUUCUUUGUUUGAGAAUUGGGAUCUCUCUCUCCCAUGAGAAACAUUUGCUCUCUGCUCCUAAGUUAAUCUCUCUUCUUCCUCCCCCUCCCCCUCCUCCUCCUCCUCUUCCUCCUCAUCUCUCUCUCGCUCUCUGUUUCUCUCUGACACUGGGACAAAGCAAAAACCCAGAAAAUGAGUAACAUAAGCAUGGUGGAGGCAAAAUUGCCACCUGGGUUCAGGUUCCAUCCCAGAGAUGAAGAGCUGGUCUGUGAUUAUCUGAUGAAGAAGGUGACUCACUCCGACUCCACUCUCAUGAUCGAAGUCGACCUCAACAAGUGUGAGCCUUGGGACAUUCCUGGUCAGUUUCUUCAUUCUCUCAUUCCCUCUUCUGCUUCGAAUAAAACUCAUUAUUCCUUAUUAAUCUCAUCCGUGUCCAUUUCUUCUGCAUGAAGUAAUAAUAUACUACGAUUCUAACUUUACAGAUCAUUCAUAUGCGUGUACUGGUAUUUCGAGCUCUCUAUUUUGGUUCGAAAUGGUUCUAUAUAUCUUGAAACCAUAAACACAGCUUAUGAUAUGAAACCUGAAAGCUAGUUUUCUCUUCUGUGAGCGUAAAUUUAAGACCAUUAGGUUGUUCUAGUAAUUUCGUAAUUGACAAAACGAAGAGAUAUAUCAGUAAAAACAAAACUGCAGGUUGAAAUUUUCAUGAAUAUGAUUAGAAUUACAUAUUUUUAAGGGAGUCCAAUCAGGUUGUUAAUUUGGGUUUGUCAUGGCCUCUACCAAUCACAUAGAGUGGACCAGUUAACAUGUGACCAAUGGGAUCAGCGAUGCUGAUAUAUUAGCAUGUUCACGCAAUUAUUGUACACAAAGUUGCUCACAUUUUCAUUUCGUUUUGCAGAAAAGAAAGAAAAAAAGAAACACACAUACAACUUGUAUUUUUUUUUGUUUUCCUUUGCAAAAGGAAAUAGCUAGGCUACUUGUUGAUCCGGUAUAUACGUACUUUGAUAUAUAUAGUUUUCAUCUAUACAGUAUUUUAGAAUAUGUCAUAUAUUAAUGUUACAAUAUUUCAUUCAAGUUGUUUGACGUGUUCCUGGCAUUUUUUGUUUCUGAAUUUUAAAAGACUUUGGAUAUUUAUAAACAAAAAUACAUUUGGUUUUAUAACGUCGUUGUUCCCUUCGUGUAAUAAAAUGUGAGCAACUUUGUGUGUACAAUCAUAUCAGAUCUUCUUGAUUUGGCAUAUGUUUAUGACUAAAGUGUGAUUUCCACUCUCACACACAUGAUUUAUGUAAAACAAACUCAAAUUACUUACAUGAGUUUUGUAGUGCUUACUUCUAUGAUAUAUUCAUCAUGAAGAACUCCCUAAAUCGAUACAAGUAGACUCAUUUUCGACUUCGAAUUUACCUUACUUGAACUAUAUAUAUAUAUAUAUAUAUAUAUAGCUAGAUAGGUAGAGUUGGUCCGUGUACACUUGUGUACACGGCUUUAUACUAUACUGAGUUAUGUAAUAAAGUCAUGGUCACUCGUGAACAUCCAUCCACGUGCUUAUGUACGACUUCAAUUUCUCGUAUUCCAUGAUAUAUAAUUUUUUAAUAAUACAGUGAACCACUAAUUAUAACUACAUAUAUACGUAUCAUCGGUUAUCCAUCUGCCCGGAUAAAUGACUUUGAAUCGUAGUUUGUUCGUACGUGAGUCUACACCUCAUGAAUAAGUGUCACUUACGCCCAUGUAAAUAUAGAAGAAUAAUGUCAACAUAAGAUGGAUUGAGAAGAUAAUUUCACUAAUUUUGAACUCUAGUGGAUUUACUAAUUAUAUAAUUAGUCAAUUAGUUGAUAAUAAUUUCAUAUUCUCAUAUGCAAUCGAACUUAUUGGAGAGAAUUAUGGAGGCUUCGCUACCGCCAUUUUGAUGAGGUUGAGAGCUGCAUAUGAUGAUCUUUACUUUGAAUUGUCUAGAACCAGCUCCCAAACAUCUAUCUAUAGGGGAAAAUUCAUUCCCCCAUACAUGAGUCUAUCUACGUUUAUCACUAUGAUACAAAGAUUUCCCAUUCAUUACUUUUGAAGAAAUGGAUGUUCCUAAUUGCUAUGCUCCCAACCAAAAGUUGAGAUAGUGAUUGUGAUAACAAAGCAUAACCUCUAAAGUCUAGUUCCUACCCCAUCGUGACCACACGCGUGUAUCAUCAGGUUAGAAAGGAAUUAAACUUUCUUAUUCAUCCUCACCCAAACCAUUUAGAGGCUUAAGGUUGUCACCAUCGUCCUCUAAUCAUAUCAAUCUACUUUGAUUUUUUCAAACAUAUUCUUCUUUAAACUUCUAUAAUCCGUCGUCUUUAAUUUGAUCUUAAAAUGGACCAACAAUGAAAGAGGGUCUUCUUUCUGACAAGUGUUCACAUAUUUAAUUAUUAACCGAUAACGACACUAAGACAUAUUAAAAAUAAAAAUAAUUACGUAUGUCGAUCAAACGAUUAAUAAAACAAUCUCAAUCGAAAGAAAAACGAUUGAUAUGUGCACUACUUGUAAUAAUGCCACCAUUUAAAGCAAAGAAACUUGUCAUGUGAAAUACCAAAAGGAAAUAGACACUUUAGUUUUGUGAUGAGCUUAGUUAGCACACAUUUGACGGUUUAUGCAACAAUUUAGGUUGAAUAGUUUUCUUCCAAAGACUUGGAUAUUGACCUCUCACCUGCAUAAAUAGUUGGGAUAUAGUUCAGCUAUUUUAGCCAAACAUGGAUGAUGGUUAGUUUGUCGCCAUGUGCUAGCUAUCUAUGCAAAGAAGUCUUCGCUUGACAUCACUGUAUAUUAUACGGUUGAUUAGUAGUACUGGCGCAUCAUCAGAUUCGAUCUGGAAAUUUUACCUAAAGUAUAUGAUAUCGAAUAUAUCAUACAAUGGAUUAAUACUUUAUUUGCUAUGAAUCGUAUUAGUAAAUUCCAUAGUGCAUGGCAAGGAAUAAGUCAGAUCAGAGCAUUAGGGUUCUUAAUUCCUAGCUGGUGUGGAAGGUGAUCGAACCUAACGUAAAUUAAACCCAGAAAAAGCUUCGGAUUCUAUAUUUCUAUAGCGUCGAUCUUUGCAUAUUUUUCAUACAUAAACUAACACAGUCAUUGUUGAUGAUCAAAAUUUGUGACGAGGAAUGUUUUACAUGGCAGAAAAUGCAUGUGUGGGAGGAAAGGAAUGGUAUUUCUACAGUCAGCGUGAUCGGAAAUACGCGACGGGGCUACGAACAAACCGAGCAACUGCAACUGGGUAUUGGAAGGCAACCGGAAAAGACAGGCCAAUCUUUCGCAAGGGAACAACCCUGGUAGGUAUGAGGAAAACCUUGGUGUUCUACCAGGGUCGGGCUCCCAAAGGCAGAAAAUCCGACUGGGUGAUGCAUGAGUUCCGGCUUGAAGGUCCCUUUGGUCCUCCCAAAAUAUCACCUGGGAAGGUAACAUCUACUGUGUUCAUAGUUUUUGCAUAUCAAACCCUAAACACUCAAUUCUACUAUCAAAAUAACCCUAACUAACAAGUAACAACCCUAAAAUGAAGUCGUGAAUAUCGACUACACCAUUGAUAGCCUAUCAAGGAUAUUCCUAUUUUCCUAUUUCAGUUAGUUGAGCAAGUGAUAGUUACUCUCUAACAAAGCAUAAAAUAGUGUAGCCAGGGUUCUUAACUGUAGCUAAACAUCCAAAUCUCUUCUCUUUUUUUUCCCCUUCUUUUUUUUCUUAUUAAUUAAUUUCAAUUGGUGAUCUACUGAGAAUUUUAAAGGAGUAUGGCAAGUGGUAACUUACAAAAGAAUUUCUAUUAUUUAUUUAUGAUAGAGAUAUUUGACUUCUUAUAUGAAAGUAUUUCAUCUCCAAACGCAUAUCGAUCUGUCCACAUUUGUCAUGACAAAUUUCCCAAUUUUAUCUUAUCGUAUAAACUAUGGUAGCUGACCUAAGCACAUUCUGGCCACUUAACUAAUACUAAGACUAUUUAUAGUUAAUUCUUAUCAGCUGUAAUGCAUUUCAAAAGAAAUGAGGGUCAGCAAAAACCCUAGUAUUUAAGUAAUGGCUGCUAGCUAGCUAGCUAAUUGUUAAUUAAUCUCAUGUUAAAUUGUUGUUUAUUUAUGUGAAUGUACAGGAAGAUUGGGUUCUCUGCAGGGUGUUCUACAAGAACAGAGAACUAAUUGCUGCCAAACCCAGCAUGGGAUCAUCGAUAAGCUGCUACGAAGAUGACACAGGCUCUUCGUCACAUCAUCUCCCAGCUCUGAUGGACUCUUACAUCAGCUUCGAUGGCCCAACUCCUCAACUUCACCAUGAUAAUGAGUAUCUUCGUCAUCAUCAGCAAGUGCCCUGCUUCUCCAUUGACACCCUUUUCUCUCAAAACCAAAUGACUACCAACCCAAAUUUCACCACUACUUCUUACGGCAACAUUCUGGAACAGAACGCCGGCUGCGGCGGCGAGUUGUCGAAUGCGGGGACAAGUACAUUUCUUGACAAUGCUAAUUUUUCAUCUGACAAUAAGAAGGUACUGAAAGCAGUUUUAAGUCAGCUAACCAAGAUGGAAACCAGCUGCUACCCUAACACGCCGUCAUCUGUCUUCAAAGGCUCAUCACCAUCAAGCUUCGGAGGAGAAUUCGAAGCUGCCGGAAGUAGUUCGGAUAACUACCUGUCUGAUCAUCAAGUUGGUAUGCCCAGUGUUUGGAGUCACUAUUGAUUCGUAUUGGUCGAUUCAUGUACGUAGCUACAGUCGAACAAAUGUUGGUAUGCCCAGUGUUUGGAGUCACUAUUGAUUCGUAUUGGUCGAUUCAUGUACGUAGCUACAUUCGAACAAAUGUUAAAAGGAUUAUUGUAAAGUCAAGUUUAGAAGUAUGCGUGCUUGCAAGGAAUUAGCAAUUAAUUUGCAUGUAGUGGUUAAUUUAACUUCGUGUGUCAAGCUCGUUUUGGCUUGCGUUUCGAUCCAAGUCCUUGAAAAAAAAAAAAAAAUUAAGGGUCGUUUUUUUAGAAAAAUUUAAGACAUGUACGUACUCUUCAUUCUGAAAAAAAAAACCCUUAAAUUUAUAAUAUACGGAUUGAGCAAACGAUGAGACAAUUAGUCAAUUAGAGACUCAAUUUUAAUUAUCUGGUUAAGUAAUUAAUGCAUUUGAAUUUCAAUUGUAGUUUUACUAUUGCACGUACUCCUCUAUUUAUUGUGUGAUUUUGAAGGGUUAGAGUGAGCAAGUCAUGAGUAUGAUCAAUAACCUGUCUUUCUAGCUUGUUCAAAUACAUGGAUGCAAAGAGAAUUAAUAGGUAUGUAGUGAUAAUGUGAUAUGUGAUGACACUUGGGCCUAGUUUGGUACAACUUCGCUUUUAGAAAAAUCAGCUUCUGUCCGAACUUUUAGAUUUUAUAGUGUUUGGUAAAUAAAAGAAAAACAGUUUUUUUUUUUUUUUUUUUAAAUUUACAAUUACUAACAGAAGCUUUUAGAAGCAACCUAAAAAUUACUUUUAAAAACAGCUGUCACUAAAAACAUUAGAAAUUAAUAAAUUUUAUCUUGCCAGCAUAAUAAAUUAAUAAAUUAAAACUAAUAUUUAGCAAACAUAAAACUAUUUUAAUUCACAACUAAUUAUUUUUGCAGUACAACAACAAUAGUUUUUUUUAAAGUCAUAGCAAUACCAAACUAGCCCUUAGUCUUUUUAAUUAGGGAGUAAGUAGCAGUUUGCAGAUUCCAUAUUUAACUCCAUGAAAGCUGGCUAGUUAUUAAUAUAUCCUUGGUUAUAUUUAGAACAAUUUUUAAUCUGGAAAUGAUACUUGGAACUGUCUUCCAUUCCUCAUCUUGCGCAGGUUUUGUUUUUGUUUUUUCUUUCUCUUUUUGAAUUCCCCCAUUGGUCAGUGUGAUGCCAAGAAAAACCCAAAACAACCAAUUCAAAGAAUUAAUAUAGAUUUUGUGACUCCUCUAUAAAACUAUGAUAUAGGAAACGACAAUCUGGUGGAGGAGAGAAAAUGAAAUCCUACCGACCUCAGCACAAGGAUUCGCUGACAAGUAUAUUCCAACAGUAACUGACUAGAUGUACGUACGUAUUUUUGUCCUAGCUAGUCAGCUAUGCUGAAAAACUACCAUGAUCAUAAUUUGAUAAUUGAUGAACAACAAAACUAUUCUAUUUUCAGAAGAUGAAAAAAAGCAAAGAAAAGAGAAAGCAAUACUUGAUAUUUCUGGUUAUUGAUACAAAAUCAAAGAUGAAAUUGAUAAGCUUGAAGAGAAGAAACAGAUUGGCUUGAGAUGUAGAGCAGGAAGACGACUUGUUCUCCAAGUUGAUUAGGUCACCAGCGGUGCAGAUAUGGAUUGGACCUGCAAGGAUGUGGACUGGGCUUGCUGCACUGGGCCUGUAUACUCUUAACAAGCUAGUGCAUGCUUGAUGAUAACAGUGUAUGAAGAAUCAUGAUUGUGUUAAUCUGCAAAUCUAGCUAAAUACAAGAAGUGUUUAUGGGCCGAGAGGAGUAGAAAGCUCUCCAUCGAUCUCUCUGUGAUUCUACAAUAGCUAGAAAAGAUUCUAAUUAUAUUUACACUUGAUUGAGAAAAUGAAACUAACGGCGUUGUCUUUGUAUGGUGUAUUCUUCUAACUUUGUUCACCAGGAUUACACUUGAAAGUUAAACUAAUGUACUUGAACCUGCUUAAUUGGUGUUACAGCCACACAGGCUUCAUAGUUAGCUAGGUAGGUUUAAAUUAAGUGCAUAUAUGACUUGGUAACUUACAUAUAUAACCGGCCAUUUUAGGAUUUAAGAGUUAGGGUUAUGAAAUUGAUGAACUGACACUUCGAAGCUCAAAACAUCGUGCACACAUAUCUUGGACUAUAGAGAUACUACUUAGCUUACAAGAUGGAAUACUGGUUAGGGGUUCAUGUGUGAAGAUUGGGGGUGAUGGUUCAAACUAGCAUACCCAGGUUUAUUGUUUUGUUGGAGUUUUCUCACAUUAAUCUCCAGGUAUGAAAAGGGUUCAGAUUAUACCAGCUGAAGGAGCUAAACUUUGAUGGGGCUUGGGACGAUUUGAGUGGGAAUAGCACUGCCCAUCGCCUUGCACGUCAAGGCUUGGUGAUGGUAUUUCUAAUUUCCUAUACAGACACAGCUACUCUACCAACUAGACAACUUAACAGGUCAAAUGGACAAUCGAAGAUGCAGUUCAACGGAAAAUAUUACAGGCAUCAAAUUGAGUCCAAGCUAAAACAUUACAAGUAAACAUUUGCACAGAGUACGUAGUUCUUUAAUGUUCUUGUUUUGGACAGCUAGUUGAAAUAGGCUAUAACAAUCACAUACUAAUAUUACAAGAGACGGUUACUCUUCUACUGUGACAAUGCACUGGUGUUGUAGACAAGAAGAGCACCCCCGGCAAGAAUGCCGAAGAGGGUCACAGCCCAGAUAGCCAAGCCAGUGGCACCUGCAAUUUCAUGCAUACAUAUUACUUAGAUUCCGUCAUCUGAUUUAAUUCACCUCCUUAAGUAUUACUAUGAAGCCUACGUACUAAGUACAGGAGCUGGAAGAAAACACAACUAUGCUCUUUGAACAAAGGAAAUUAUUUAUGGAAAUUCUUGUUAUAAAGUUGAAGAUGCUUACCACCAGCAUAGUAAUCACCACUUGGAGACCAUUCAUCGGUGUUGUAGAUGGGACUGCACUCAUCCGAAAAGAAUAGUUAGAAUAUAUCAAGCCAGUAAUUAAUUAAAAGGAUACAUAGUUAGUAUCAAUCCAGUGUCCAGAUACCAAAAAUAUAUAGCAAUAAGAGUUUGUAUCCAAUAUAUUUAAGUCUGAAAUUUGAACUGUUUGAUCAGAAACAAGAAGUAUUUUUGAGUCUCAGUCAUCUAUCAGGCAUAUGAUUGUUUAUCAAUUCACUCCAUCAAACUACUGAGCAAGAAGAAGAUCAAGGAACUCCUUAUACAGUAAUUGUUACUGUAUAUCAGAAACUCUAUUACAGUCAGUUCUGUAGAUUUGGAGGUGUAGGGUUGAACAUGGUAAACUAAAAACUGAUAAAUUUCGUUAAAAUUGAGUUUGGAAAUUUCCUGUAAAGCUAAUCAUAGGUUCUUCUCUAUAUCAAUACAACAGGGAUGUUAUGUUCUUUUAUGUAACUUUUUUAAGGCAGUGAACUAAACUCAUUGUAACAAUUCUAGACAUGUAUGGAUAAGUGAUGUUAUUACUACUUUGUUAAUAUAUCAAAACCAGAUCAAAAGAAUUAAACAUAUUUAUGGCUAAGAUUACUGAAGCUACAUGUAUACCUGUAUCCAUCAACAUUAGCGCCAUAUUUGUCUACAUACUGGUAGACACCCUUUCCCUGAAUCAAGUAAAUUUGGUCAAAUGCUAAUUACAAGGUAGUAGAUUAGCAUAAAUAUCAGAAUUCAUUCAAAAUGCAAAGAGUAAAUCUAAAAUGAAAAGGACCAAUGAAUUUACUUACUUUACCCUUCCUUCCUGAGGCAUCUACCCCAUCCCUCAAGUUCAUUCCACCACCAGUUCCUGCACCAAAUGUUGUUUAUCAGAAAUGAGCCAUGCAGAUAUGUAUCUUUAUCAAACAGGGAUUGUCAAAUUAAGGCAUAGCCUGUAUGCACUUGUACAUACCAUAGGGGGUGGCAGUCUUGAUCUUCUUGCCACCACUGGCUUGGACCUUGAAUGAUGCAGAGGUCCUAGCAAGAGAGGGAAGCCCUCUCACUGCUGACUUCUCAAAGCUGAAAGGAGCUGGUUUCAAGCUCACUGAGGCCAUAACUGAGGCUGCCAUUUACUCAGACCUUGCUAAUUUGCUUCUCCUGCUGAUUGUGUGUUGUGUGGUAUGUGACUUGUAUAACUCCUUGAUAAAUCAUCAUAACAGUAAACAAUGUGCACAAGUGAUUGCAGUGGUGACACGUGGCACUGGUUCUGUGGUUCAAUCUGGAUAUGGUAUUGCCAACAUUAUCAUUUAUCAAAAUGGGAAAUGACUUGUCAACCAAAAAAAAACAGAGGAGAAAUUAUGUGUUUCUAUUAAUUCUGACCCCAUAUUAUAUUAUGACACGUGGACAAAGGGCCAAACAUAAAAGAGUCUUGAAAUUAUCUGCUUCUGGUUUUGCCUGAUUCUGGGUAUUACAACUAUAAAUGAGCUCAGACAUCAUAAUCUACAAACAGAACUUGAAUUGAAUUUUAACAUUCUGUUCUAAAUUUCACAACUUUAUUGAAUACCAAAUUCAUAGAAUCUAUAGCAAUUUGCUUUAAACAUUGAGAUUUAUUUUCUUGUAGAGUUGGAUCAUUGUUACAAACUUCCGCAAUGAAUACUGAAUCCAUAAGGGAAGCAAAAGCAAAUUACUUGUUAAACUCAUUAGUCGUAAACAGCAACUAUCAUAAGCAGCAUAAGAGCUCUGAAAGUUGGGAAGCUGCGGCCAGGCCACUAACUAUAGCACCUUCAACAUCUGGACUAACACAGAAAUCACCACAGAUGGCAAGUCUCUUGUUCCCAUCCCAAAGACAUUUCUCCUCUCUGGCUAUGGUAGUAGCUGGAAAAGCGCUUCCCCUGCAAACAAAACAAGAUAUCAGAUCACAUGUCGUUCUUUUAUAUGAUGAAAUCUGCAUUUUUCAAAGCAUUUAAACAACACAAUGCAUGGUUCCUAUGUUCUUGCAAUCUAAAUAGGCAAGAAUUUAAAACUCCUCAGCAAAACCAUGUAUCAUGAAUUGACAUUAUGAUCAUUUGACUAUAAUACUAUAUCAGAAUAAAUUCAUUAAGUGAAUGACAUUUCCUCAUUGUCAAGAGAAUGAGGUGCAACUCCAAAGUUUGUUAUUGAGGGCGAAUAAUUAUCAUGUAAAAGAAGAACAAACAGAACUUAUCUACCAGACAGCUGAUAAGCUAUAAUUCAACUGAUAAGUUUCCCUAGACAAGACUCAUUGACCAAAUGCUCUCUUAUGGGUAUAUACUAGUGCUCUUAGAACUAACACUAAAACGGUGAGUCUAGAGUAUAUAUACUGACCAUCUAUGAGCUUUCUUAAAAAAGGGUUGAGAAAUAAUAAGUCCCAGGCUUUGUAAUUCUUGGAAUAGUUCUUCAGCCACUUUAGUCAAUGUUGCAUCUGAAAGCUUCUGAAGUCCAGUUUCAGCAAUUAUUCUCUGAGCAUACUCCAUUGUAGAAUGCAGAACCCAUCGCUCACUUCAAAGGAGAUAAAGGAAAAAAAAGAUGUCUGAUAAGUAAAACUCAAUGAAAAUAAGAAAAGAAUACAAGGAGAGGUAGACCAUUAUAUUCCAUCACUACCUAGAGGUAGAACGGCCAGGCUUGCUGCUGUCACAAUGAGCCCAACUUAAAACUUCAGAAUUUUUAAUUGAGAACCCUUUAAAGGGUAUCUGAACCAGAGAUUAGGCACCAGGGUCACCCCAUGUGAAAAAAGGUUUAAACAUAAAUAUAACUAUAUAAGACAAAACGCCAAAACCAAGCAUCCCAAUAGAAAAGAAGGGAAGCUGAGCAGCUGAACCAUGUAGAAUUUUAUUGAUCCGCAAAGUUUGCAGAUGAUUAAAGCUGAUCUAAGACUGCAUAAUAAGUAUCUCACCGAUGUCAGAGGUUCUGCAAAGGCUAUCAUUAGAGCAAAGCAUGGCCGAACCGGAAUGUCAUUCAGCUUAACUGCUAACUCUGGAAAUAAUUUCAAAUCUGCAGAGAGACCAGAAAUGGUUAGGUGACUUAGGUCGCACUUAUGUUAUGCUUCACUAGCAAUGCAUGUACGAGACAAGAAUUAUAACAGAGAAUGACUGAAAAAAAAAAAAAAAAAAAAAAAAGGGGAACGUGCCAGUAUCACAACAAUACUUCUAACAAAUAUUGCUUUACUUAUGCUGGUUUUACUACUUUGAAGAAUAAGCAUCCCAUUGUUUAAUGUAAAAUACAAUAAUUUGUAGAGGCCAUUAUGGAGAAAAAAGGGAGACACCAAACUAAUUGAUGUCACUUUCAAGCAUGUUUACCAAAUUUUACCAAGUGGAAUUGUAGUAGCAUCUCUACUUAAUGAUUAACCAUGAGAGUAAGGUCAGCAAUAUGUCCAUCAUCAGGACAAAGCAUGUGUUAAGUAACUAGCCACAAAAGAUGAUAAGCUUUAUCAUGAACUGUCACCUAAUGCCCAGAAAAAGGGAAAAAAUCAAUAGAUUUUUACAGAAAACUUCUGCGGACGUUUGUCUAAUUAUUCUUCAGUAAAAAAAAAGAAAAAAAGAAAAAAAGCUUGAAGGAGAGCAUUAUUACCAAGAGGUGGUUGUCUUCCUGUAACACUUGUAAACCUGGGUGAAACUAUGUUUUUAUCUGUUGCAACCACUCCCUUAAACUGACCAAGAUUUUGUCCAUCCAAACCAAUCAGUGACCACAUAUUUUGAUCCUCUAGCCACUCCAAUCUAUUAACACUUGUACCAAACUUACUUUCCACACCUAACAAAAAAUAGAGAGAUAAUUUUUUAAGUAUGCAGAGUUGCACACAACCUUGACUGAAAUCUUUCCAAUGAAAAAGUACUAUGAUUAAGACAUACCAGGUUCACGGCACAAUGCUUUGCAUACAGAAUUCAUCCCUGGGAUACCCACAUAUCUCUUACUUAUUAAUCCUUCCUAAAUGAAAUUGAUAUUCAGAACAAAUGAUUUAAACAAUUUAUAUCCCAACAAAACACAAUCACAGUAAUGCAAGUGAGGCCUUUAUGUUAUAGUUUCUGUUCAAUGUUCGGAUAUAUUUGAGUUAUUAUGAUGCAUUUUAGAGGAAGAAUUUCCAUAGGUUCACAUUAGUUGGUACUGGCAGUAACUGUAGUUAAUCUCAAUAUAACAUUAGUUUGAUUGGUACAAACACAAGAUGCAGCUUCACAAGAUAACAAGUUUUGGGAAAUUUGGCAGGUAUGACAAGCCUAGAUAACAAAAUGAAUGGUACAGGAUAUUCGUUCUUUAAUGGAAGCUUGGACAUCAGCGUUUUCUUAUGGAAAACAAAAAAGAAAGUGAAGAAGAACAUCAUACAGCAGAAAGGAAAGGUCUGAACCAACUUAACACAACAAUGCUAAACAAUAAACUAGUUUAUAUCCAAGAUAGCCCUGACAAGGGAGGGGGCAACACAUUAUUGAAUUUAUCCAAGACGAAGCAUAUGUAUCAGUACCCUGGCCUACUUCACUAAUCAAAUAUCUGGGAUUAUAAAGCAUGUUGAAUAUAGGAAUACUGGCAAACCUGUUCUAGGUCAACAAAUUUGUUUGACGUGCGAUCAAAACAACCAAAUUUCUCUUUCCAGAUAGCUGCCAGACCCUUUGAUUCCCAGUCAUGGACAAGACUCUGAACCUCGGUGUUGUUGGCAGUGAAAAACGGAGCACCAUGGUCAAACAACAGCUCCUUCCCAUCUUCAACAUUUUCUCUACAUGAUUAGAGAGGACAUGAAACUAUCUUUCAUUAUCAAAAGGAAAGGGAUACUCAUGUCAAGCAACUCGUUCCCACAUAUAAGCUCCACAUGGUUGAACUUCCAAAUAACAGCAAAAACAAAGGCCAUUUCUCAGAAAAUUAUCAAUGUAAUAAGUAGUCAUUGAUUCGUAAAAUGGUGACAAACAGAAAUGACCCAAACUAACAAUCGUAUCUGUUAGUAAAUCAAUUUAUUGACUAUUUCCUAAUCACAGAGAUUAGGAUCUAUGGAAGGAAAAGAAAACCCAGUCAUACAAAUCAAAAGGCCAAAGUUCAAAGUUCAAAGUUGGCAGUUAGCAUUAGAACCUCACUCUUCUUCUUCUUCUUCUUCUUCUUUUUUUUUGGUAUUUCCUAAAAUCAACAUUCAGACUUGUAAUCCUGUUCAAUCAACCUAAAUGCUUUCACCUUACCCAAAAAGACUCAACUACAAUCAAAAACUCCAUUUCUCAUAUUUACCAACACCAAAUUACUCCUCUAAUCUCAUCAAGUAAAGGUAAAAACUUUAACACAAAAAUGAAUGUGAAACCAGAAAAAGUUACCUUCUUUGGGACAUACGGCCACCUGGGCCUCUAGCAGACUCGAACAAUGUCACAGAGAUUCCAUUUCUGGCAAGACUUGAAGCGCACACAGCUCCUGAAACUGUAUGUAAGUUUCCAGAAAAGGAAAGUUAGUGGUUAGACAAAACCGAAUAAAAUAGACCAAACCCAAAAUAAAAACCAAAGGGAGUGUUGAUGCCCUUCACUUACUUCCACUCCCCACCACUGCAACCUUGGUGCCUUUCAUAUUCAUACGACCUCGUCUCUUCUCCGAUCAAAAGUGUUAUAACAAACCCGGUUUCGUGGCACAAAGGUGGUUGGUAGUUGAGUGUUGACGCGGUUGUUUAAUUAGUGAAGGGACUUGUUAAACCCAACCAGGCCAGUUCUUCGUCUUCGUCUCGAGUGGGGUGUAGGUGUAGUUGUAGAGGGUGUAGUGUAGGAUUGGGUGUGCCGUCACAAACGGGUCGGACUGGGUCGGACCAUUAAUGACUGACCCUGCGGGUCUCCACUGAUGGCCCAUGCUUCACCCUCAAGUUUUGGAUCAUUUACAUCACCAAUUGACCAUAUCAGCUUAUCAGUACACAUUUCUAUUUUAUUUCUCUUUCUGGGAAUUGAUGAGGAAAAGGAUGGAACGGAUAAAGUUUUUUAUACCAUCAAUAAAAUUAUACGUAAACGCAACAAGAGUGGCGAUUUUCUAUAGUUUUUAGGUUAGGGAACAACCCAAACUCAAUAAUUACGUUUUUACAACAAGUAGAAAAUAGAUAUCGUAAAAAUAGUAUUUAGAGAUGAAGUUACUUUGGUUUGUAAUAGGCUUGUUAUGUGCGAGGUGAAUUGGUUUUUAAUGAGCUAGCAUGCCUAUUUGGGUCUUUUGGUUGUUUACCCGUGAACGACCUCAUUCAUGGUAUAGAACUAUAGAUAAUUUCUUGUUAAAAUUUUGGCUAAAAAGAAAAAGUGGUGAUUUACGAGCCAUUGACUAUAACUAAAACAAAUAAAACGUUAUAAGGAAUUGGUGAAUCAUAAGUUUGGUUACACUUUUAUUCGCUCAAACUUGAUUCUUAUUAUCAUUAAAAAACCAGCUCCUUCGAUUUAAAAUUGUUCGAUUGGUAUGACGAUUAUGAAAUGAAUUGUAAAACGCAAACAAUCAGUCGAUUCAUUGUCGAUUAUGCAGCAUUAACAAACACAUUACACAAGUUGUAGGCUGAUUUGUGUGGUGUGCAUUAUUUCUUAUUUGGUACAUUCCGACAUGAUGUAUGGCCAGAAAAAUUGGUUUAGAGAUUGUUAACUUACCAUUAUGAAGCUAACCAGUUAGCUACAAAACUCUCAUACUCAUUGUCAAUUGAGUCUUUGGCGAAAUCAAGACAGUUCUACAAACUUUAUGUCAUGCUAGUUAAGUUAUAACUUUCCUUUCCUCUCAUCUUUUCCUUAGAUUGAUAGUCUUUUAUAUAUAAUAUAGAAGAAUACCUAACAAAUAAUACUGACCAGCUAGCUGCCGUAAACUUUCAAAUAUUUGGUCAUCUGUGGCUUAAUCUGGAUGUCUAAUCAUCAUUAGUUGUUUAAUUGGAUUGUAAGGAACAACAUUCGUUAACCAGGAACAUAGUAGUUGAUCUGCGCCACCCUGCUCCUUUGCUCGGGCUGCUACUCUUGAUAUAAUAUAUGUGAUAAUGUGACAUGUCUAAGAAUACAUGCACGUUUUAGUCUCUCAUAUAUCAACUUAACAAUAUUCAAAACAAUUCUGUUGAGCAAUCAACUUUGAUUUGUUUGGUUGUAAUUACAAUAUUUGUAUUCUCAUUGAUGAUCAAACUGUUUUCCUAAUGAAUUCAGGUUUACUUACACUUCAGUAUACUAUCCGUUGAUCUAUGCUUUCAAAACCUGUAACGCUAUAAGUGGGAGUCCAUCAAUUCGAUAAUCGUGAGUUCGUGAUCGUCUACUAUUUAACAAAUAAUCAAAAGUCUUUAACCUUUUCAAAAACCAAUGGUUUUGAAACAAUUCUUAAUGCUAUCAAAAUCGGAGACCAGCAAGAUUCAAAUAUGCCAUUGUUGCCGCAAAAUCUAUCAAUUUCUGACAGAAGAGGCAAACCGUAGCAUCAAUUCAAAGUCAUAUAUAUGUCAAUAUCAAAAUGUGAACAUUAUACCCUCACGGAAGAAAAUCUUCGAUCAUGAGACCUAUAAAUUAAAAAAAUAAAGUCUCCUACCUCCCAAUAAUCAACUUGACCAAUUUUUAUCAAUAAUAAAAAGGGAUACAAAUCAUGUGCUUAAUCCUUAUUUUAUAUUUAUUUGGGACCCUAAUGAGGUGGAUCGGUACGGAUAAAUCAUUUUCUUAAGUUUCACCCAAAAAAAAAAAAAAAUUCAAUUUCUUAAGAACCCUAGCAUAUAAUAUCCUCAAGGGGCAAGAGCGAAAAAGAGUUGUGUGAAAGCUUUUUUGGUCCACGAUAACGUGGGUUGAAGACUUGAAGCUUUGAUCAACCACUGAAAGAAAUCUCAGACAAACAAAAAGUGGUAUUAACUAUGUUAGAGUUAUAUCUAGUGUGGACUCAAGAUUAACACAUGAGAGUCCAACAUAUAUAAACAUCUUGUGAAAUAAGUAAAUGAGGUUAAUCGAUAAUACUUAAUUUAGAUAUUUAUCUUAGUAAUCUGAUUAGAUAAAUACAAGGAGUUUGAGAUAACAUAGAAUAUAUGUUAUAGUUAUCACAUAAGGUAAUUGAUUGGUUUAUUAGAGUUGUCUUGUGAGAUGAGAUUCUAAGUGAACUUGUCAAUAUAUAAAGGGGUCCCUGUGUAAGCUCAUACUACGCCUGUAAGUUUUUCAUACUCACUGUGAAAAGGCAAUCUGGAGAAUUACACAGAAGACUUCCUCUGCUCCAGUUUGAUGGCUUUGAACAUGAAUAACCAAGGUUGGUGCUUCUAAUUCUUAUAUAUGUUUAUAUGUUCUUGUUUUUGCUGAAACAUGAUGCAAUGUGUUUAUGCCUAUAUGUGGUUUACAGUUCAAUAGUUGGUAUCAGAGCCAACCAUAUUUUUUCAUAAACCUUGUUGUGUUAUGCAUGAUUAUUUUUGAAAAAAUUUUUCUGGUAAAUUUUUUUUUUUCUUUCUUACUUGUGACAUUGAUGAACACGAAUUGGGCCAAGAGUUUUGUCAAGGCCCAAUACACUAACCCAGCACAAGCAUGAACCCAAGACCCGUUUUUAAAGGCGCGGAUCCUCUUGACCCGACCCAUCUCAUCUUUAAACCUUGUUUUUUUUUCUGGUCGUUAAACACAACCAAGUUUUUUAGCAAACCCAGAAUUGGGAUUAGGGUUCUUCUGCGAAGAAAAAAAAAAAAAUUCGAUUUUGGGAUGAUCUUUUCGCUGCGUGAUAGUUAUGAUAUACAUGGUUAGUGCGCGAUUUUGAUUUUGAAAUACAUGUUGCCACAACAAACUAUUUUAAAUGGUUAUUGUAACUAAAGCACAUACCUGAAAAUUGCAUAUUUUUUGUUGAAAUAGGGACUGUAUCAUCUACAGAUGGCUUUAAACUUUACCUAUCUUUGAUAACAAAUGUGGUUCUAAAUAUGAUAUGUUUUACUUCUUAAAGUGCAGUAUGAUCCUUUCUUCUUGCCCACAGGUGUUGACUGAUCAUGUUGUAGGAAUUAAAAUAUGUUGUAGUUUAGGAAAACUAAGGAAUAACUUGUGCUUUGCCCACAGGUAGACUGGUUAUUGAAUUAGACUGAAAUACUAAUUACGUUUUUGGUAUGUUUCUGGUGUGAUUUUCAUGUUUUUUGAAAAUUUUUAUAUAUAUACUGAUAUAUAUCGAUAUGGAUAUAGAUAACCAGAAGUACUAAAACUUUUGUUUUCUUUUAUGUUCUUUUUUCAGUUUUGACUCCUGUGAACGUAGGGAGUGUGAUGCCUUUGAAUGGUAGCAACUAUAGGACCUGGAGAGAUGAUAUAGACCUGAACCUAGCUCAACAGAAUGUAGAUUGGUGUCUGAGUGUCCCAAUGCCUGCUGAAAAUGGUGCAGCUAGAGAUAACUGGGUGAGAGCCAAUAAGAUCUGUAAGCUCACUAUUCUGAGAACUAUGUCUGAUGUUGUGAAAGGUGGUAUUCCUGAGAAAGAGAUAGCUAGUGACUUAGUGAGUACCUUACUGCCAUAGCUGAGAGGUUCACGAUUAGUGACAAGGCUGAGACUGCUAUGUUGUUAGACCAGCUGCAUGGUAUGAAGUAUGAUAUGAAGAUGAACAUUAGGGAGUAUAUUCUAAAGAUAAUUGAUAUAGGAGCUAAGCUCACUGCCCUCAAUAUGACCAUGGAGGAAGACAUGAUUGUAAUGCUAGUUCUGAAAUCCAUCCCUGUUGAAUUUGAUCAGCUUAAGACCACUUACACCACCCAAAAGGACAAAUGGACAUUGAACAAGCUGAUUGCUAUAUGUGUCCAAGAACACGAGAGGAUCAAGAAAGUAACCAUUCACCUAAUCACCACAAAACCACAGUGGAAGAAAACUGAGAAGAAACCCAGCCCUUCUAAGAACCUGGGAGUUGGCAAGAAGGCCAUGAAAGUCAGUGGCAACAAGGGAGGCAUCAAAUGCUUCUUUUGUAAGGUUAAGGGCCACAUGAAGAAGGAUUGUGGCAAGUAUAAGACCUGGAAGGCAAAGAAAGGUAAUGAACCAUUGUUUAAUUUUUAUAUUGAGGUGAAUUUAGUUAACGUUCAUACUGAUACUUGGAGUUUUGACACUGGCUCACCUGUGCAUAUCACCAAUUCUCUACAGGGGCUGCAAAGCCAGAGGAGGCCAAGGGAAAAUGAGAUCAGGAUCCAUGUCGGAGAAGGCACGAAUUGAAGCAGUUGGUUUUGUUAAAUUAGUUUUGAGGCCAGGAGUUUUUCUAGUUUUAGAGCAAGUGUAUUAUGUUCCUUCCAUGUCUAGGAACUUAAUUUCGAUUGCUGUUUUGGUUAAAGACAAUUACCAGUUUUUGGUUGAUUCUAAUGGAAUGAAAAUAAGUCGUGCUUCUCAUUAUCUUGCUACUACAAAGUGUAUUGAUGAUUAUUGGUCUUUGCCUAAUACUUGCCACACAGAGGUUUUGUUGAUUGAGAAUAAUGUUAUUGAUUUAGUUAAUGGAAAUAAAAGAAAAUUCAGUGAAAAGUCUGCUUUCCUUUGGCAUAGGAGACUUGGACAUGUCUCAAAAGAGAGAUUGAAAUUGAUGGUGAAGCAGGGAAUUUUACCUGAGUUAGACUUCUCUGAUUUGGUGGAUUGUAUUGAAUGUGUUAAGGGUAAAUUUGCUAAACAGAUUAAGAAAGGAGCAGUUAGAAGUACAGGCCUUUUGGAAUUGGUUCACACAGAUGUUUGUGGACCAUUUGCGAUUCAAACUAUAUGUGGAAAUAGCUAUUAUAUCACCUUUAUUGAUGAUUUUUCCAGAUAUUGCCAUGUAUACCUUAUGUCUGAAAAGUCUCAAGCCUUAGAGAAGUUCAAAAUCUUUAAGUUAGAAGCAGAAAAGGAGUUGAAUGCAGUUGUGAAGUGUGUGAGAAGUGAUAGGGGUGGUGAGUAUUAUGGGAGAUACACUGAAACUGGUCAGCAUAAGGGACUGUUUGCUUCGUUUUUAGAAGAGAAUGGGAUUAUAGCACAAUAUACCACACCUGGAACCCCUGAGCAAAAUGGAGUUGCAGAGAGAAGAAAUAGAACCUUUAUGAACAUGGUGAGGAGCAUGAUGUGCACCUCAGGUCUCCCACAUUUUCUUUGGGGUGAGGCACUUAAAACAGCUAAUUAUUUGACUAAUAGAACCCCAUCCAAAUCUGUGUCUGCAACCAAAACCCCAUUUGAGUUAUGGAAGAAUAGAAAGCCUAGCAUUUAUCACACACAUGUUUGGGGUUGUAAGGCCGAAGCUAGGCCUUAUAAUCCAAACGAGAGCAAGCUAGAUCUUAAAACAGUGUCUGCAUCUUUUAUUGGCUACUGUGAGCAUUCCAAAGGCUACAAGUUCUACUGUCCCACACACUCCCACAGAAUCAUAGAGACAAACAAGACAGUGUUCCUAAAUGAAACCAAUUANNNNNNNNNNNNNNNNNNNNUAGAGAUAAAGAGAGAUAGAUCGAGGUUCCUACUUGGUUUAUCACAGCAGAGCUACAUCAACACAGUUUUGAAGAGGUUUGAUAUGCAUAAUUGUGCAGCUGGUGCAAUUCCAAUGUCAAAAAGUGACAAGCUGCAUAAAAAUCGAGGUCCAAGAAAUGCAUUGCCGAGAGAACAAAUGAUGAACAAACCAUAUGCAGAGCUUAUUGGGAGCCUCAUGUAUGCACAAGUGUGCACAAGACCAGACUUGUCAUAUGCAGUUGGCAUUUUGUCAAGAUUUCAGUCCAAUCCAGGAAUUGAGCAUUGGACUGCAGGGAAAAAGGUUCUCAGGUAUUUUCAAGGUAUUAAGGGUCAUUUGUUGGUUUAUAGAAGAGUGAAAGAGCUUGAAGUUGUUGGUUAUACAGAUGCAGUUUUUGCAUCUGGAUAUCCACACUCAAACAAGUCGACUACUGGUUAUGUUUUUACUAAUAGGCUGGAGGUGCUAUUGCUUGGAGAACAGUGAAGCAAACUCUCAUUGCUACUUCGACUAUGCAAGCAGAAUAUAUUGCAAUUUAUGAUGGAGCUUGUGAGGGUUUAUGGCUGAAGAAUUUCUUGAUACAAACUAAUGCAGUUGACAGCAUUUUUUCGAUACCUAUGAAGAUUUACUGUGACAACUCUGCAGCAGUAUACUUUAGCAAGAAUAACAAGAGGUCUGCUAAUUCCAAGCAUAUAGACCUUAAGUAUUUCAGCGUUAGAGAAAGAGUUAAGCAUAAGGAGCUUGAUGUGUUGAAGAUUGGCACUGAAGCUCAGCUAGCAGAUCCCUUUACUAAACCCAUGACUGUUGCUGCAUUUGAAGAACAUGCAGCUGGUAUAGGCAUUUUGCCUAAACUUGAUUGAUAUGAUCAGUGAGAGCUUUAUUUAUAGCUACAGUAAUUUUUGCUAGCAGUUAAAGACUUUUCUUGUGUAAUUCUCAUUUUGGUUCCAGUUUGAACCUUAUGUUUAUUUUUUGCAACUUAUGAAUUUUCUGAUUAAGAAAUAAAAGUUCAGUGAUGUUGCAUUGCAUUCUUUCUAUGAUUAGUUUGAAUCAUGAUAUAGCUAUAUGAAUAUUGUAUUGUCUAUUGAGACAAUGUUUUCAGAAUUUAAAGAGCAUCUGUUAUAAUUUUCUUUUGAAGAUGAUGUCAGGUUCUUGCAUACAGAACCAUAAAGAGGAUCAAAAUUAUUUUAGACUGUGCCAGAUACAUCAGGUAGUCUAUUAAUGAUUUCAGGUUGAUAACUUUGUUUGAUUGAUGUGGUUUGUGGUUGGAACUACUGUGGCCUUGGAGUGGUUGUGUUUCAAAUGCAAUUCGUUUCUUGGUUCAAUACUACACUGCAGAUUUUACAGAUCAAGGUUGCAAACUUUUGUGUUGCCUUUUAAUCUCAAUGAGCUCUAAAGAUUUACUACAUUCUAACUAAGUUUAUAUCUUGUUGUAUGAGUUAUUCUUGGUCCAAGUGGGAGAAUGUUAGAGUUAUAUCAAAUGUGGACUCAAGAUUAACACAUGAGAGUCCAACAUAUAUAAACAUCUUGUGAAAUAAGUAAAUGAGGUUAAUCGAUAAUACUUAACUUGGAUAUUUAUCUUAGUAAUCUGAUUAGAUAAAUACAAGGAGUUUGAGAUAACAUAGAAUAUAUGUUAUAGUUAUCACAUAAGGUAAUUGAUUGGUUUAUUAGAGUUGCCUUGUGGGAUGAGAUUCUAAGUGAACUUGUCAAUAUAUAAAGGGGUCCCUGUGUAAGCUCAUACUACGCCUGUAGUUUUUUAUACUCACUGUGAAAAGGCAAUCUGGAGAAUUACACAGAAGACUUCCUCUGCUCCAGCUUGAUGGCUUUGAACAUGAAUAACCAAGGUUGGUGCUUCUAAUUCUUAUAUAUGUUUAUAUGUUCUUGUUUUUGCUGAAACAUGAUGCAAUGUGUUUAUGUCUAUAUGUGGUUUACAGUUCAAUAAACUAUUCAUUUCUAAUGCGAUUACAAGAAUUUAAACACACACUAGAUAAGAAACCCAGUUGCAUAAAUUCACUAAUUUAUAGGUCAUGUUUCACAAAGGAUGAGCAUAAAAUCUUGGGUUAUUAACCUAUGUAUUCUCUAUUGGAUGGUGGGAUUUAAAAAAAGAGUAGUGUCUAUUAUUUUUCCAAUUGUUAGACUUUGAAGUUUAGAAUGAAAAACAGAUAUACAACUACGUUUUUGUUGAAUUCAAUCAUUCACAUUAUUACAUAAACUCAUUCUUAAAUCACUCAAUGCAUUUGAUUAAUUGUUUACGAGCCAUAUCGACAUAAACAAUUACUCAUCAAAACCUUCUGAAAAAUCUUAUUCUAGACAAGAACACGAACGCAACAUCAUCAAAUACUUCUAUAUCUUAGAAAAUCCACACACCGUAUUUCAAACACAAACCUUGAAGCUCCAAAACCGAAAAAGUAAAAAUUUACUCUAGAGUAACCAGCAUUUGCUACCUAACAAAAUUCUUAACCUCCCCAACUCGAUUGAUUUUCCACCAUCAUUCUCUUCCUCUAGAAAACGAAGUGAAAAAGGAAAUCUUGAGGAAGAGUCAUAGACUCAUUAAAUAAAACGUGGCAGUAGGAGGAAACAAGUGACGACUGGUUCAUGCUGACGAUGAAGCUUGACUUUUGACAAGUUCCGUUCCACUCUUUGCAAGUAAACUGUGUUUGAUGUAGGCGCCACAUUCCCUCUUCCUCAUUUCAACUCCUAUAUAAGCUUUGGAUUGCUCUUUAACCUUUGAUUCUUUAUUACUAGUGUUGUGGGGUUUGGAUGUGUAAGCUUUUUUGGCCUAGUUUCAGAAGUGAGUUUAGUACCAGACACAGAAAAUUCAAAGGGGGUGUUCGCAUACCUUAGUAGACUUUGCCAAGACUUACCUAGAAGCUACCUGAUUACGUUUCACAUUAACUCACAAUAAACCCAGAUACAAUUGCCACCAAAACUCACACUUUUAUAUUCAAGUUCUCUCUCUCCAAAGGCCAAUAGUUCUCUUUGUUGUCCUGCAAGAAGCCAAGAACAACAACUGGUCUUUCAUUCCCUGAGCCACCUGAGGUGAUUUUCUCUUCUGGGUCUUUCUCGAGUUUCCUCUUUCUUUCUUUAGAACCAUUCUGAGUUGUGCUUGCUUAAAGAUUGUUUCUUUGUUUGGUUUGGAUAAGAUGGCUGAUUCAAGUAGAGAUUUUUUUGAUGUUCAUGAUGGUCUUGAUUCAAAUCUAUUGUGGUUUUUGUUCAGUUGUUUUGAAUGUUGGUACUUUUUUGAGUGAUUUGGUGAGUCCAGUACCGAAAUAGGACAAAUCCACAUGAUGAGUGCUCUUCCUGAAAUGUUUGUCAUUAUCAUCAUCAUCGUCAAACAGCAAGAUUUGCUGUUUUCAGUUUGUUGUUUUCACAAAUGGUAGAAUUCUGAUGCUUGCUUGUUUGUGUGUUGUGUUGCACUGCAGACAAUUUAGAGGAAAAACUAAGCUUGGACGAAAGUCAAUAGGCUUGAAUUUCUGGUGCAUUCAUUUGUUCCUGUUCUCUACUCCACUCCUUGUGGCAUAGAUAGUUUGAACUUGAAGGAAUAGUCGUAAUUUAUCGAGUUAGUUUCAUCUUUUUUUCUUUUUGUGUUUUAAACUCUUGUGGUAACUCGUACUUAAUCUGAAUAGAUGGAUGAACUCUAGUUUCUAUGCAGCAUGAAAUGUACUAGUUCAAAUUUGCUGAUCAGUGUAUUUUGUACACCACCCUGGUUUAGCAUCGCUAAAUAGUCUGCAAAUCUGCAAUGUAAUGAUGAUCCACAAGUAGUUAAAAGAGUCUCUCUUGAUAUAAUCAUCUUUUAUCCUGGCGCUCAAAUAAAGUAGUGGACAUAAUUCGUUUAGUUUAGAGAAGGGAGAGCUCCCGGUUCGGGGCUUGAGAUUGUUCCUGAUAGGUUGCAUGUUAAUCGGAGUUUCAACUUUUAACAAGUUACAGUACUUGUCAAAAUUUCAUAUAAAUGGAAAUGAUUUUUUUUUUAUAAUAUGCAUUAGUUAACAUUUAGCAUGUCUAAAUGAAAAACAAAAUAAUAUAUAAUGCGUUCAAAUAAAUGGUCUCAUUGCAUUUUAGCAACUUUAAGCUCCACUCAGAUUUUAAACUGCUUACGUCUCUGAUUCCAUGUACAUGCUAUUAGGUUUGAUUAUUAUCAUGGCCUGGUUUCAGCUUAGUCGGGUUUGGAGUUGGUUCCAGAUGUGGAGAAAAAAAAUUCUUAAAUGUUUACCUCUUACUGAAAUCAUCUGAUAUUUAGUUCUCUAAACAUAUGUGCUCACAAUGAUGCGGUUUUGCAGGUCUUGAAGCGCCUUUGUUUUAAGCACUUGGUAGAAAUUUGACCUUGAAAACGUGGUCGCUGCGUAUCACAGUUAUGACUUGUUUAGCCUUCUUACUUGGUAGAAAGGACUCAUCAAGAAAAUUUGGUUUUAAUGUUGAUGAUGGUAAGCUGCAACUUUGAUCAUAUCAUAUUGUAAAUUAAUGCUAGAGGCACAUAAUAAUUCUGGAAAUAUUAUUCCUACACAACACUUUUAUUUUGAGAGCAAUGUUAAAGACUCCAUAGGUCUUCCCAAAAUGUUUUUUACCGAAUCAUGUGGCGAAGGAUGUUAUCAAUAAUUUUGAGUGAGACUGAAUAUGAACAAAUGAAAUGCUAGAUUAAUUAUGUAACCUCAUAAGAUGGCACCGAUUUAUUAUAAUUUAUUCUGGUGUCUGUAACAUUGAUCUUGUGAAAUUCUUUGCUUAUUGAUGAGAUCAUAUACCUAUACUAAGUAAAUAGAAGACUCUUCUCUUGACAUGAUAUCUCAAGUCCCAGAGUGGUCUUAUGUCUACCUAUAAGAAUCUGAACAAGUUUUCUCUGUCAACAGAGCUUUCUGGCAUUCAUGAUGUUAAACUAUACACGUACAAAGAGUUGAAAAUGGCGACAGAAGAUUUUGAUCUAGCCAACAAAAUUGGCGAAGGUGGUUUUGGUUCUGUCUAUAAGGUAACUGCAAAUUUGUUUAGUAUAUUGCUUGUCUUAUCAGUGAUUGUAUAUGGUCUCGUAGUGGAAAGACUAUUUCUCACUCUAAUUGAUUGCUGUUCUGGAAAACCAGGGACGACUUAAAGAUGGAAAUUUUGCUGCUAUAAAAGUUCUUUCAGCUGAAUCAAAACAAGGGGUGAAGGAGUUUUUGACCGAGAUAGAUGUGAUCUCAAAAAUAGGGCAUCCAAAUCUAGUUAAGCUCUAUGGCUGUUGUAUAGAAGGAGACCAGAGAAUCUUGGUCUACAACUACCUGGAGAAUAAUAGUCUUGCACAAACUCUUCUUGGUAAUUACAUAACUUUGUCCAUCAGCUUAAAUUCCUUAUUGCUAUUUACAAGUUACUGGUGUGCGGGUUUGUGUAUUUGUGUGCUUUGGAUAUAUAGAUCUAUCAUGUAUGUGUGGGUGGGCAUGCAUUCUCUCUACUGUGAGGAUGAGUUCUGAAUCUUUUGAUGCAAUGAUGGUGACAACUUUCAGGAAUAAUUUUAUGAAUGUAGUUGUAUAUUUAUUAUGCAUUAUUAGGACUAGAAUUAUGAAUGCCAAAAGUUAUCUUAGAUCCAGUGAUCUGCCUUCUCCAUUAGAAUUGAAAUCAGUCAUUGUCUAAAUAUUACUAUUUUUUCUUAUCUUGAAACUUAUGUUUUUAAAUGUUUCAUUACAGGUGGAGGUUACAGUAAUAUUCAGUUUAAUUGGCGAACACGGCGUGGGAUAGCUAUCGGAAUUGCAUGUGGGCUUGCCUUCCUUCAUGAGGAUGUACGUCCACAUAUUAUUCACAGAGAUAUCAAAGCAAGCAAUAUUCUCCUUGAUAAAGACCUAAUGCCUAAAAUUUCAGAUUUUGGCCUUGCAAAACUUAUCCCAGCCAACGUGACUCAUGUUAGCACACGUGUGGCAGGAACAAUGUAAGUUGUAAUGCUUUGAUAAACUCAUAGACUUUGAUAAGCUCUUACAGUUACUGUCCAGCUACCAAAGUUAGGAAACUCAUAUACUUUUAUAAGCUACUAAGUUGUCCAAAUAUUUACCCUUGUAAUUUUAUGUUUGUGGUUUUAGAGGCUAUCUGGCACCAGAAUACGCAAUACGAGGGCAAUUGACGAGGAGAGCAGAUGUUUAUAGUUUUGGGGUCCUCCUAGUGGAAAUAGUCAGUGGGAGAUGCAAUACUAAUUCACUACUACCCAUUGAGGAACAGUAUCUGCUUGAAAGGGUAUGGAUUUUAGAUUUGUUGUCUUUUCAAGCAUUUUGUGUCAUGAAAAAAAAAUUAUAGGUAGUGAAGGUAAUAUGACUAAUAUCUGAUCUUUGUAGAAGCUACAACUCUGUUAUUUUGAAGUUAAUUUUUUUUUUUCAUUAAUUAAAUUAAGUCAAAGAGCAAUGCCAUCAAAGGCUGAAUAUCACAGUAAUUUAAGAAACUGGUAAAGCUAAACUUCUGUUCUUGGACAAUGGAACCUACUGUGAUAAGGCUUCUGAAGUUUGAAACUUCAUUUUUCCCUUUAGAUUGUUUCUGGAGGAUGUUGGUAAACUUUAUUUGUCAGUUGCAAUUCUAAGGUCUGGAGCCUCAUACAUUUUAGAGAAGUGACAGUUUCUAUAGUAUGUAUAGUAUAGGUGGCCAAUUCUGGAUGCGGAAAUCAGAUUAUUAAUAAGAAAAUAUUUUGGAAAAGGGGGUGGAGAAAAAACUAUGGGGGAGUCAAACCUGACUUUUGGAGACUUUGCCUUGGUUUUCAGUUAUGCCAUGUUUUACGGAAGUCAUCAUUUUGGAUGGUUUAUUUGUAUAGAGUUUCUGCAGAUGACAUAUUAUUACUUUAGGCACUGUUGGUAACAAUUGCAUUCUUAUAUUGCAGACAUGGCAUCUCUAUGAACGCAGGGAGCUGGUUGGUCUGGUAGACACAGCAUUGAACGGAGAUUUUGAUGCUGAGGAGGCUUGUAGAUUCUUAAAGAUUGGUCUUCUCUGCACACAAGACACUCCAAAGCUGAGACCAUCCAUGUCAACUGUGGUAAAGAUGCUUAAAGGCCAGAAGGAAGUCGACGAUACUAAGAUAACAAAGCCAGGCUUGAUAUCUGAUUUCAUGGAUCUCAAAAUACGAGGCCAACCGAAUAGUAAGAAGCCUAGCACAAAGACCUCUACUUCGUCCUACAAUGGGUCCUCCGGUUCAGACAACCUGGACAAUUCAAACCUGACGUCACAAACCUCAGCUGCCGCUACUUCCACCUUCAUCUCAAACUUGUCCUUUGAAACCACAGCUCCAGCUUCUCCAACCUUCAGCUUCAAAACCUUGUGAAAUGAGCUAUUACAAGUUACAGAAUGUGUAGAUUUGAUUUAUUCUUAUCAUAUAGGAUUAUAGGGUUUUGCGGCUUCGUCUUGUAAAUUAUGAUCUGCUUAUUUUUUGUCACACCACCUUUCUGGCUGGACUGCUGGAGGUACUCCAAUGUAAAUGUAUACUUGAAAAUUUAAAAGAUUUUUCCUGGGUUCAAUGUCUUUCCGGCACUACAGUAGUACAGACUACAGACAGACAUCCUCUCCAAAUCUUUCUAAUAUGUUGCUAUAUUUAUAUUCAUGUACCAUUGCAAUUAGGGUGGACCAUAUAAUGAUUUCAUGAAUGUUAGAUCUUGACUUGGUAACACAUUGCUUACAGCAUCUUGAUUCAGCCUUGUAUCUUGACUUGGUAACAUAUUGCUUUAUAACCAUCUUCAUUCUUUUCCUUGUGCCUUCAUAUGUUCCAUCUAGUUGUCAAACAUUUCUUCUAUCAAAAGGUUAAUUGUCACACCUCUCAAGUUGUCAACUCACUUAUAUAGUAUCCGAGAGCUUUUAGUCACACCUCCCAAGUUGUCAACUCACCGAACUUUCUAUAUUUAUCGUUCGACACCGGAAGCCACCACACUCGAUAGCACUUUGAUCUUCGACUUUGACUACACACGCCUAUAGAGUUCAUAAAGGGACCUGAACGCCGGUGAUAUUAGGCCGCCGGUGAGACUAGGCAGAAGGGUGUGUGACAAGUGACAACAAUUAGGAACGACCACAACCUCUCUUCCCAGAAAACACAAGACUCGAACACACUCACAAACACAAAGGCAAUGAUAAGAAGUUGUUGGUUGUGUAUACGCAUCACACUAAAUUCCCUAUCAACAAUGACACUUAUCCAGUAUUGACAAAAAGAAAUUAAAGCAAUUAAAGUGAGAAAACUAAUAGUAGGUGGCGACUAUCCAUUAUUGGUGAAUUUUAAACAUGGGAAGGCAGUGGCAGUUUUAGCAUCACUAAAAAACCCAACCAACAUCUGUAUAUUUUCUCAUUGUGUUCUUCAUUCCUUUCCAUUUUCUAUUAACCCAUAGGAAUAAAAAUCAAUAAAAAUCACUAGUAAAAUUAAAGGAUAGGAGUCAUAGGACCCCACUUCAAAAGCUCAAAGAAUCUAAACCCCAAUCUACAAAGUGACAAAGCCAAAACCAAAGCCCAACUAGUCCCUCCUCCCUCUUCUUCUUCC
Molecule: long non-coding RNA, 87682 nt
Filed under: Fragaria vesca (wild strawberry)
Lineage: Eukaryota; Viridiplantae; Streptophyta; Magnoliopsida; Rosales; Rosaceae
Source: RNAcentral